AAACCGACUAGUACAUUCACAAAAAAAACAUAUAUGACACUUUUCCCUUUAUGUGCUCCAACAUAACACCAGAAACGUUUUCCACGAAGUAUAACUGAUGUUUGUGAUGACAGUUUUAUCCGUAUAGGUAAAUUAAAUAAAGAAGACAUCAAAAAGUAGAAAAAACAAGAACUCUAUAUCGUUCAAGCAGUUUUCACUUGCAUUUAAAGAACUAGUGUUACCAUCUAACCUGGUUGAUGCUAUGACACGACCCACUUCAUUAUUUGGCCACCAUAGAGGAUCAAACAUACUUUAGACUGUAUCUCUUCAAGCAUUUUGCAUCUGGACCCGACACGAAAACACUACAGGCAGAUAGCCAACUCGACUCUGAACAAAAGCUCGACCAGCCAGAUCUAGAGUACUUCCAAUAAGGAAAGAAACAUCCUGCAAGUUUUCCCGCCUAUGUCAAUUUCACUGUAGAUACUCAAAUUUGAAAGAAAAGGUUCCAAAAAAUAUGCCAUCAGAUGAACCAACACUAGCAUGAAACCCAUAUCAGUUCAAGUUAAUGACCAACAAAUGCCCCAACCUUAAGGAGCUUUCAACUCAAGUGUAUGUAACACCGAAAAAGUACAUGACAGUCAAUAGGAGAAGAAACAACACAAUAAUACAGUGCAAAGAAUUGCAUCAACGAUAGUUAACAAUUGGUUACAAAUACAAACAUGAUGUUUGGGAGAGGUUAAAAGUGAGUCAAACUUACUUUUAAGUAAAUUUCUGUUUCUUCUUUUGUACAAGUAAAAGAAGUUUCAGAGAGAACAAAGUUAACUUAUUUUGUGAGUAGAAUGGGGUUACUUUCAAAAUAAAUAACUUAUUUAUUUUCAGCAUUGACCAAAAAAAAAAAAUUUAUUUGUUCCAGAGUGUUUCCAUUCAGUAGAUGUUUUGAACUUAUUCAAAUACGCAGACAGUCGUGCAGUGCUACACAGUUGAAGAGACCAUGAAGAGAGUGAUUACUAUACCUUCAACCGAAUUUGAAACCCCCAGAUGGAACUGGAAGUUCACCUUCGAGUUGAAUCCAGAUUGUGUAGUAUCACCAGAGGGCAGCUGCUCAUCCUCUUCUUCCAACCAAUAUGUUUCAAGUAUCUUCACUGCCUUUUCGUAUAUUUCAAUGUUGUCAUGACUCUGGAGGUUCUCAAUCUUCUCUAGACCCUCUGCAUCAUCAAUCAUUUGCGCAAAUUAUGAACAAAACCGACUAGUACAUUCACUAUAGUUACAUAUAUGACACUUUUCCCUUUAUUUGCUCCAACAUAACACCGGAAAUGUUUUCCACGAUGUAUAACUGAUGUUUGUGAUGACAGUUUUAUUCGUAUAGGAAAAAUAAAUAAAGAAGACAUCCAAAAGUAGAAAAAACAAGAACUCUAUAUCGUUCAAGUGGUUUUCACUUGCAUUUAAAGAACAAGUGUUACCAUCUAACCUGGUUGAUGCUACGACACGACCCACUUCAUUAUUUGGCCACCAUAGAGGAUCAAACAUACUUUAGACUGUAUCUCUUCAAUCAUUUUGCAUCUGAACCCGACACGAAAACACUACAGACAGAUAGCCAACUCGACUCUGAACAAAAGCUCGACCAGCCAGAUCUAGAGUACUUCCAAUAAGGAAAGAAACAUCCUGCAAGUUUUCCCGCCUAUGUCAAUUUCACUGUAGAUACUCAAAUUUGAAAGAAAAGGUUCCAAAAAAUAUGCCAUCAGAUGAACCAACACUAGCAUGAAACCCAUAUCAGUUCAAGUUAAUGACCAACAAAUGCCCCAACCUUAAGGAGCUUUCAACUCAAGUGUAUGUAACACCGAAAAAGUACAUGACAGUCAAUAGGAGAAGAAACAACACAAUAAUACAGUGCAAAGAAUUGCAACAACGAUAGUUAACAAUUGGGUACAAAUACAAACAUGUGUUUGGGAGAGGUUAAAAGUGAGUCAAACUUACUUUUAAGUAAAUUUCUGUUUCUUCUUUUGUACAAGUAAAAGAAGUUUUCAGAGAAGAAAAAAGUAACUUAUUUUGUGAGUCGAAUGGAAUUACUUUCAAAAUAAGUAAUUUAUUUUCAGUAUUGACCAACAAAAAUAUUUAUUUGUUCUACAGCGUUUCCAUUCAGUAGAUGUUUUGAACUUAUUCAAAUACGCAGACAGUCGUGCAGUGCUACACAGUUGCAGAGACCAUGAAGAGAGUGACUAUUAUACCUUCAACCGAAUUUGGAACCCCCAGGUGGAACUGGAAGUUCACCUCCGAAGUUGAAUCCAGAUUGUGUAGUAUCACCAGAGGGUAGCUGCUCAUCCUCUUCUUCCAACCAAUAUGUUUCAGGUAUCUUCACUGCCUUUUCGUAUAUUUCAAUGUUUUCAUGACUCUGGAGGUUCUCAAUCUUCUCUAGACCCUCUGCAUCAUCAAUCAUUUGCGCAAAGACAUUCACAUCUUCAAUGUUACCUCAGUUCUUCUCAGCUUCUCCAACCUUCAGUAUGUUCUCAAGACCUUCCAAGCAGACUGUGACAAUCCUUGGAUCAGGACAAACUAGAAGGUCGCACAAUGGCUUUAUACAUCGUGCACCAAGAACCUGCCACCAAGUUGAAGAAUUAAUAUUCAACCCAACUGUACAGUAACGUAAGUGAAUUAGAUAAUGGUUAAAAAGAACUAUAAUUGAUUUGCUCGUGAGUUCCCCCAGACGUGGCAUUUGAAAUAGCCCAAGCAGCCUCUUUCUUUAUCUCAAAUUCCGCAUUUUGAAGCAGUUGGACGAGAGGUGAAAUAAUACCAGCCUCAAUCACAGACUGUAUUUUAAGAUGACAUACGCUCAGCAUUUAUCUCUUAAAAACUUACAAACAAAAUCAGAACUGCAAGUGGCCGUGAUCCAUGAAAAUAAAAGUAGUACUAUAGGACAAAAAUAUAAAUGGUGAACAUUUUUAAACAAGACAACAAGAGAAAAAUCUUCAGUCUUGACGUUCAAACAAUAAUUUGACAACUAAUUUAAUGGUAAACAUCUAUAAACAAGACAGGAAGAGGAAAAUUCUUCAGUCUUGAUGUUCAAACAGUAAUUUGACAAUAAAAACUAAUAGCAGUUCUACUUCGACAUCCGCACCCACUCCCCCAAACCAAAAAACAAUUUCAUAGUAGUAACUUGUGUACCUGAAUCUGAUCCUUAUUCCCAGCGAUGAUGUUUGAAAUGGUCCAACAAGCCUCCUUUUUGAUGCUUUUCUUAUAAUUUUGAGUCAAGAAGUUAAGCAGACAAGGAAGUGCCCGAUUCUCAAUAAUAACCUGAAAAUCAUUAAAGAGAAGUGAGUUCGUGAAAAAGAUAUUGCUGCUUACAUUCUUCAAUGAUAGUAUUCUUAUUAGAGUUUUAUUUAGAAGGCAGGCAACUUGACUUUCUGAAAGAUGCUCAUAAGGUUGAUCUCUCCAGCUGAUAUAGAGUUGAAAAAGGGUUCAUCAAAGGAUGUUCAAGGGACCCUACAAUACAUUACAAUGGCAUACCAAGAAAUGCCCCCAUACACCUUGAGAAAUCACAACUAAUAUUCCAUUAAAUGAUUUAAAUGAAGUUAAGAUGCGUAGUUCAAUGAGAAGUGCUUGAAUCAAGAAUUUCAGUAUGCAUAACUAAGCAGAACUAUUUUGAAACGGAAAUUGAAUUUGAGUCAUUCGGCUUUAAAUAAAAACCAAGGCACUCCCAAGUCACUACAAGGAUGGUCAAACAUUUAAAUUGGUAUCAGAACACAGAGGAAGCCAUUUAAUAGGACCUUAUAGUAUUUAAAUUCGGGGUUGUAACAAUGAGAAACAAUGAUAAAGUAGGUAACUUCUGUUAAACAUCAUUAAGGAUAAACAGAAAUGCUGCAUAUAGACAUAAGGCCCUUGUUUGAGCCCCAUUUAUCAACCAAAAUACAUUUUCAACAGUGAUUUAAUAUCAUUUCAACCACACAUUUUUCAAUAAAAUAAUAUUAUACGCAAAUAAAAAAAAAUCCUUAUUUUUUAACCACAUAUUUUUUAUCAAUACACUAUUCAAAAAUUCAUUUUCUUCACAAAAAUAGGGCUCAAACAAGGGCAAAGUGAACAUUCCAAUUUCCAAGGGUGUCCUAUAGAGUGCUAAAAGACCGACUACAUAAAAAAACAAAAGAAUUAGAAAUAUCAGUAGAAAGUUUUUUACAAGGGCCAUGCUACAUGACCAUAAGGGUUGACACAACUUUUUACAAUGUCAGUGAAUAUCUCAUACCCACGUCAUGAGCAAAUUAAAAUAAUAGCAAAAUCAAUAAUAUCCAAACAACUUUUUUACACUUCCCAGUGUACCAAAUAAAUUUUCUAAACUAGACUAAGGGCAUGUUUUGUUAAGAUUAAAAAGUUUACAUAAAAGAGAAGCGAACACUUUUUUUAUCAUGUACGUCUUGGUCAAAGUGAUUUUGACGGAAGGCGGGUCUUAUAGUCAAAAUAAGUUUUUUUUACUUUUAUCUUAAAUAUUACAGAAGCAAAAAUAAAAUAAAUUGCGUUAUGUAUGGUCUGAUCAAAGUUAAAAAUAAGUACUUGUUUGUGCCCUAUUAAUUGUGAGUAAUGUAUUAUGAAAUAGUGAUUGAUGUUGAAAUAUGUUGUUAAAAAAGAAUGAUUUUUUAUUUAUUUACGUGUAAUAUUAUUUUAAUAAAGAAUGUGUGAUUAAAAACGAAUACUGUAAAAAAAAAAAUAAUGUAAUAGAAUGUAGAAGAAUUGUAGACAAACAAAGCUUAAGUAAAUUAUUUGGAAGUGAUGUAGAUCUUAAUAUCAAAUAAGUAAUUUGUUUUUACUUUCCAUUUUUAUUUUUUUUAAUAAAGUAAUCUACUUUUAAGACCGGCCAUGCUCUAAGAGGAAUAAGAUGAUAAAGACUAAAAAGCAACCCUAGUUAUUUGAAAAGGCUUCUUUCUUCAAAACAUAACUAACAAUCGUUCUCUACCACAUGUAGACUCAAUGAAUUCUUGUUUUAAUAUACUUGACCAUACCCUAGGCAUUCCACAUCCUACUAGUUUCACACGAUAAACUUUGCAAAAUGAAUAUAUUUGAAACAUGAACCAUCAAGCAAUGCAAUGCAUUUUUUCUCUAUCAUUGACAGGGAGAAAGGAGAAUACGAUACACAACAAAGGGGUAAGUACGUAGAACAACAUAAACUACUAAAAGACCAGAUGACAUACCGUAUACAUUUUAUACAUAAAACAAGUCAACAAGAGUUGGCUAGUAAUUUAGCAGACUGUUGAGACCACAAGAAGGGUGACCCGACCAAUUUUCCUACCAUGUGAAAACAAAUUCAUAGGCUUGAAAUUAAUAAAGGUCAAGUACAAGAGCCUGCUGGAUACCUGUGUCUGGAUGUCAUCUCCAGUCACAAUAUUACCAACAGUGUGCAGGGCAGGAAUCAACACAGAUGGAGAAGGAUGUCUAUAAACCACAAGAAACCAUAUUAGACAGCUACGAAGUGCAGUUAACAAAACCUAAAUUACAAAUUAAUUACACGAAUAUAGAUGUGAAAAGUAAGGAAUGAUGUCAAAUAUGAUUUCUCACUCACAGUAAAAGCUCAACCAAACGAGGGCAAACGCCAGCCUCGAUCACAGCUUGAAUUUUACCAUUGUCCCGUCAGAUAGACAUGACAGUGCCCAACAUGCAUCAAUAAGUACUUCUUCAUCAUUUGUGUGUAUCAGAUGAGCAAGAGCAAGGAGGGUAGGCUUCACCUGCUCAAUAAUUUUUAGAAGGAAUUGCCUCAAUAUAAUGUUGAAAAAUAUAGGCAAAUAAUAGUGUCACCGUAAUGUAUAUUUGGGCAGAGUAAUGACGUUUGGAUAGUUUUGAAUGGUCGAGGCAAGAGUUCGACUCUUUCUCCUUAAAACGAUAAUGCCUCGCACUGGUACUGACGAUAUUGCAGCACUCGUUUCCCAAGAUACAACGACCUCGUCUUGUAAUAGUAGUACUCCAAAUUACAAGACCCGACGGACCCAUAAAGUUUAGAUCUCUCCACACACACUGGAUAACUAAAAUGGACGGAAAAUAAUUAUCGAGGUCUGAAUUAUAAAAGCAGAAAUGAUGUAGGGACAAAGGGAUAAUUUCGGGAGAGUAGAAAAUCAAUUCUGAUUUUGGAAUGAAUUAAAACCGGGGUAUGGGGGGCCUAUAUAUAGAUGUUGAAAGGUUGUGUCCCAACAGACACAAUCGUCGAAAAGUUGUGUCCAAAAGACACAAACAGUUUCGACAGUCAACCGCCACAAUCCGCCAAAUUUUAGAAGCACCAUGUGUCACACACAGAAAAUUCGAGAAAGAAAAAAUAAUAACAUAAAAUAUAUUAUUAUUAUUAUUAAAUAAUAAUAAAUUAAUAUAAUUCAAAUGUUAUUUUACCAAAAAAUAUAUAUCAGCUUGGCCCAAGCCCAAGACCCACGACCCGUGAUCGUGCCGUGUCGAGCCGAGCCGAGCCGAGCCAAGCCAAACUGGCCGGACGGCGACCGCCGCGCGCGCGUGUGGCCUUUGGUUUAACCUACUAGCAUGUAGGUUCUUUUCCCCUCAAAAACUAUUAGUACCCUUUGGGGCCCAAACCCAAGUCCCAAACUUGAGCUAUAUAAAGUGGUUUAUAUUCUUCUAAUUUUCCUAUGUGGAAUUGGUAUUUUUCAAUUUCCCACCUAUUUUAUUUUAACAUCAAGUGGGCAUCUUUUGGCCUUAAUUUCUCAUUCACCCUAAAUUGGUUUUGAGAAAAUAAAUAUUCCAUAUUAAUCUACUCAUGGAGUAGAACACAUUUGGCCAAAGAAAUCUUAUAUCCGAUUAAUGGGACCCACUAAAUUAAUUGAUCAAAAGUUGGUCAAACCAACUAAUUAAAACCAAUUUUUCCAACAAUCCCUCACAUGAAUAGAAAUUAAUACAAUAGACUAUGCAGACCCUAUAGAGAGAUCAGGCGGAAUGUUAUCACAUCUCGAUAGGUACCUUAUGGGUUUGAACCUUCCGUAGUAGAAUACUAUCGGAUUUACUUGGUUAAUCAGUGAACGCGGUGUCUUGAACUGUUAGCCGUUUUUGUAAACCAAGACAAUAGUAUCAACACAAUAACCUUCCUAACAUUUUCGAGUUCUCACUGUUGUGUUCAUUUUAGCCCUGAACAACUAUUGGAUUUCAUAAGUGCUUUAGACAAUUCAAGCCUUUGAAACAUUCUCAUAGAAGCGGCCACACUUCACACUUGUAUAGGUGAUCUCCUAUUAAGAGUACCUGUCAUACUCCACUUAGGUAGUCCAAGAUAUAGGAAUCAUUAAAAGUAUAAGUUAACCUAAAACUUUCUGCAGAUAGCACUUCCUUAUCAUAGGAAUGGAUAGGAGUUAACUCCGAAGUGUUUAUUUGAAUCUUCAUAACUUAGUUGUCCCAUUGAACCAAGAUUUUGGGAUCUCCAGUCAGUGAGGUUGGGUUACCAUUACAAAGUUUCUUAUGUAGUAGGCUUUAAGUCCAUUCCUCUUGAUAGGCAUUAUACUUGAUCUCUUGGUAAGCCUUUGAUAAGCGGAUCCGCAAGAUUUUCUCUAGACUUUACAUAAUCUAUGGAAAUAGCACCAUUUGAGAUCAACUGCUUAACUGUAUUAUGUCUUCGACGAAUAUGUCGAGACUUACCAUUAUAUAUACUACUUUGUGCUCUACUGAUAGCCGACUGACUAUCACAAUGUAUACUAAUUGUAGGCACAGGUUUAGGCCAACAUGGAAUAUCCUCUAAAAAAUUUCGAAGCCAUUCUGCUUCCUCUCCAGCUUUAUCUAAAGCUAUGAAUUCAGAUUCCAUUGUGGAUCGAGCUAUAUAUGUUUGUUUAGAGGAUUUCCAAGAUACAGCCGCACCACCAAUGGUAAAAACAUACCCACUAGUGGAUUUUGAGUCUUUUGUAUCUGAUAUCCAAUUAGUAUCACUGUAUCCUUCUAAUACAGCUGGAUAUCUCGUAUAAUAUAAUCCAACAUUUGAGGUGUAUCGUAGUCAUUAUUUGGGUUACUUGUAUAUCUACUAAGUUUGUUUAUUGCAUAUGCAAUAUCCGGACGAGUGCAGUUUGUAAUGUACAUUAGACUGCCUAUGAUCCGAGAAUAUUCUAAUUGAGAUACGGGUUCGCCUUUAUGUUUGGCCAAAUGUAGACUUAAGUCUACUGGUGUUUUAACUGGACUAUCAUCAUACAUAUUAAACUUUUUAAGUACAGUCUCAAUAUAGUGAGAUUGAGACAUUACAAGUCCCUCAGAUGUUUUAAGAGUUUUAACUCCUAAUAUUACAUCUGCAAUACCCAUUUCUUUCAUGUCAAAAUGUUUUGUCAACAUUUUCUUGGUAUUUGUUAUCAUAUCAUAACUACUACCCACAAUUAGCAUGUCAUCAAUAUAUAGACAUACAAUUACAUAUGCAUUAGGUGUGGUUUUAAUAUAAACACAUUUAUCACAUUCGUUAAUCUUAAAACCAUUUGACAACAUAGUUUUGUCAAAUUUUGCAUGCCAUUGUUUUGGCGCUUGUUUUAGUCCAUUUAAUGACUUGACGAGUCUACACACCUUUUUCUCUUGUUCAGGAGCGAUGAACCCUUAGGGUUGUUCCAUGUAAAUUUCUUCUUCUAGCUCACCAUUUAAGAAAGCUGUUUUGAUGUCCAUCUGAUGGAUUUCCAAAUUAUGCAAUGCUGCGAUUGCAAUUAAUACUCUAAUUGAUGUUAUCCUUGUCACAGGUGAGUAUGUAUAAAAAAAAAAAAUCAAGGUCUUCCCUUUGUUUGAAUCCUUUAGCUAUCAAUCUGGCCUUGUAUUUAUCAACUGAUCCACCAGUCUUUAAUUUUCUUUUGAAAAUCCAUUUACAACCUAAUGGUUUAUUACCAGGUGGGAGAUCUACCAAUUUCCAGGUAUGAUUCUGCAUAAUAGAAUCAAUUUCACUAUUGAUAGCCCCUUUCCAGAAUGAAGUUUCUGGACUAGACAUUGCUUUAUUGAAUGUCCUACGUUCAUUUUCUAAGUUAAAAAAUCUGGACCAAAAGAUGUAGAUGUUUUGGUUCUUUUGCUGCGUCUUGGUUUUUCAUCACUUUGAGGAUUACUAAUUGCAGAAUUAUAAGUUCGUUUUUGUAGGCUUAUUUCUUUCCUAUCUUUACAAGGAAACUUGUCCUAAAAAAAAUGCAGCAUUCAUAGAUUCAAUGAUAGUAUUUUCAUGUACAUCCGGAAUGUCAGACUUAUGUACGAAGAAUCGAUAAGCACUACUAUUAUUAGCAUAUACAAUGAAUAUGCAAUCGAUGGUUUUAGACCCUAUUUUAACUUGUUUAGGCUUUGGUAUUUAUACCUUAGCCAAACACCCCCAUACUUUUAAGUAUUUGUACGAAGGUUUAUGACCUUUCCAUACCUCAUAAGGAGUUUCGUUUCUACCUUUGUGUGGUACUUUAUUUAAAAUGUGGUUAGUUGAGAUAAUUGCUUCCCCCCACAAAUUUUGUGGUAAACUAGAACUAACCAACAUAGCCUUCAUCAUCUCUUUUAAAGUACGAUUUUUUGCAUUCCGUAAUAUCGUUUGAUCGAGGUGAAUAAGGAGUUGUAGUUGGAUGAAUAAUCUUAGAAUCUGAACAAAAUUCAUCAAAUGGUGCUCCAUAUUCCCCACCUCUAUCACUACGAACAAUUUUUAUUCGUUUGAUUAGUUGAUUCUCAACCUCAUUUUUGUACUAUUUAAAUGCUUCUAAAAUCUCGUCUUUAUUCCUUAGCAAAAAGACAUAACAAUACCUUGUGCAAUCAUCUAUAAAAGUAAUAAAAUACUUUUUACCUCUUCUAAUUUGCACAAACUUUAAAUCACAAUUAUCACUGUGAAUUAGUCCUAGAGGAUUCGAGUUCCUUUCAACUGAAUGAAAUAGUGUUUUUGCUAAUUUAUCCUCUACACAUGUUUCGCAUCGAUGAUUUUGAUCAAAGGACAUAGAAGGCAAUAAAUCUAAACUUACUAAUCUUCGUAAAGUAUUAACAUUUACAUGUUCUAACCUAUCAUGCCAUAAGUUAGAAGACUCAAUCAAGUAACCAGAAGAUUUAUUUUUAUUAAUAUCAAAAUCACGAAGUACAUGCAUUACAUUCAAUUUGAAUAGCCCAUUGGCUAAGUACCCUUUGCCUACAAAUAUGCUAUUUUUGGUGAGUACAAAUUUGUCAGAUUGAAAUACCAGCCUAAACCCAUUCUUGCUUAACAGAGCUCCGGAUACCAAGUUUUUGCGAAUAUUGGGAACAUGCAACACAUCGAUGAGUGUUACUUCUUUCCCUGAUGUCAUCUUCAGCACUACUUUACCUAGACCAAUAACUUUUGAUGUUGUUGAGUUGCUCACGAAAAGUUGUCGUCCAUUGAUAGGAGUGUAAGAUGAAAACAUCUCCUUAUCAGCACAAACGUGACGAGUAGCGCCAGUAUCAACGAACCAUUCUCUCGGAUUAUCCACCAUGUUUGCUUCAAAUACAACAGCCGAGAGCAUUAGUCCAGACACUCCGUUAGACAGUUUGUCUUCUUCAGUCAAGUGCACUUGGUCCUUUUUGUUUUUCUUUUUCUGUCGACAGUCCUUUGCAAUAUAACCAGGCUUACCGCAGUGAUAGCAAUCUCCUUUGAAUUUCUUAGCCUUGCACUUUUGCUUGCCAUUAUUCGGGUGUUUCCUUUUCUUGCUAGUAGCUGGCUUCACCAAAUUGACUUUAGCCUCCAUUUGCUACUUUCCAGACUUCUUUUCAGCAUUUCGAUUGUCUUCCUCAAUUCUUAAUCUAAUAAUCAAAUCUUCAAGUCUCAUUUCCUUGCGUUUAUGUUUCAGGUAGUUCUUGAAAUCUUUCCACAUUGGUGGUAAUUUUUCGAUAAUUGCAGCUACCUGAAAUGGCUCACAGAGCUUCAUGCCUUCUGCAUGUAUAUCGUGCAAGAUAAGUUGUAUCUCUUGGACUUGAGUCAUUACUGUUUUAGAAUCUACCAUUUUGAAGUCCAGAAAUUUUCCUACAACGAAUUUCUUCAAUCCGGCAUCUUCUGUUUUGUACUUCUUUUCCAAUGACUCUCAUAGUAAUUUAGCCGUUUUGACGGAACAGUAUACGUUGUAUAGUGUGUUGUCAAGGCAAUUGAGAAUGUAAUUUCUGCACAAGAAGUCACUAUGACUCCAAGCAUCGAAUCCUGCUCGUUUUUGAGAAUAUGUUUCCUUCUCCUCAAUAGUUGGAGCAUCUUCUCUCAAGAUUUUGAGCAGAUUUAGAGUCGUAAGAUACAACAACAUUUUUUGUUGCCAUCUCUUAAAAUCCACUCUCGUGAAUUUUUUCGAUUUUUCCUCGUGAGCAUUGUUAGGGGGUACGACAGACGUACCAGGUGGUACAACAGACGUAGUACUACUUGCCAUUAUCGUUUUAAGAUUGUUGAAAAAUAUAGGCAAAUAAUAGUGUCACCGUAAUGUAUAUUUGGGCAGAGUAACGACGUUUGGAUGAUUUUGAAUGGUCGAGGCAAGAGUUCGACUCUUUCUUCUUAAAACGAAAAUGCCCUGCAUUGGUACUGACAGUAUUGCAGCACUUGUUUCCCAAGAUAUAACGACCUCGUCUUGUAAUAGUAGUACUCCAAAUUACAAGAUCCGACGAACCCGUAAAGUUUAGAUCUCUCCACACACACUGGAUGACUAAAAUGCACGAAAAAUAAUUUUCGAGGACUGAAUUAUAAAAGCAGAAAUGAUGGAGGGACAAAUGGAUAAUUUCGUGAGAGUAGAAAAUCAAUUUUGAUUUUGGAAUAAAUUAAAAUCGGGGUAUGGGGGCCAAUAUGUAGAUAUUGAAAGGUUGUGUCCCAAUAGACACAAGUGCCAAAAACUUGUGUCCAAAAGACACAAACAGUUUGGACAGUCAACCGCCACAACCCCUGCCAAAUUCUAGAAGCACCACGUGUCACACACAUUAAAUAAUAAUAAAAUAAUAUAAUUCAAAUGUUAUUUGCCGUGUCGAGUCGAGUCGAGCCGGUCGGACGGCAGCGGCGCACGCGCGUGUGGACUUUGGCUUAAUCUACUAGCAUGUAAGUUCUCUUCCCCUCAAAGACUAUUGGUACCCUUUGGGGCCAAACCCAAGUCCCAAAUUUGAGCUAUAUAAAGUGGUUUAUAUUCUUCUAGUUUUCCUAUGUGGGAUUGGUAUUUUCCAAUUUCCCACCUAUUUUAUUUCAACAUCAAGUGGGUAUCUUUUGGCCUUAAUUUCUCAUUCACUCUAAAUUGGUUUUGAGAAAAUAAUAUAAUUCAAAUGUUAUUUGCCGUGUCGAGUCGAGUCGAGCCGGUCGGACGGCGGUGGCACGCGCGCGUGUGGGCUUUGGCUUAAUCUACUAGCAUGUAAGUUCUCUCCCCCUCAAAGACUAUUGGUACCCUUUGGGGCCAAACCCAAGUCCCAAAUUUGAGCUAUAUAAAGUGGUUUAUAUUCUUCUAGUUUUCCUAUGUGGGAUUGGUAUUUUUCAAUUUUCCACCUAUUUUAUUUCAACAUCAAGUGGGUAUCUUUUGGCCUUAAUUUCUCAUUCACUCUAAAUUGGUUUUGAGAAAAUAAAUAUUCCAUAUUAAUCUACUCAUGGAGUAGAACACAUUCGGCCAAAGAAAUCUUAUAUCCGAUUAAUGGGAUCCACUAAAUUAAUUGAUCAAAAGUUGGUCAAACCAACUAAUUAAAAUCAAUUUUUCCAACAUAUAAAACGUUCAGCAGUUUUUAUAUGUAAUUACAGAGAAAAGUGAUAAUAGAACAAACCUGCUCAAACUGAAGAUGUGGCUUCCCCUGACAAAAGUUUGACAACGUCCACGUUGCAUUUCGCAACAUGGAUAGCUUUGCUUUGUCAUUAAAUUGUGCAAAUAAGGGCAUUAAUGAUCCAUAACUAAGGACAAGAUCACGACAUUUUGGUGAGUUGCCAACAACAUUUCCCAACGCCCAAACUGCCUACAUAAAGUAGUUGAACAUAAAGACAAAAACAGCCUGAAAUUUAAAUUUAAAGCUGAAGCACAUUACAAUAUCUACCUGCUUGCCAACAUCAUCGCUAGGGGAGUGGGAUGAAGCCAGACAUUUGGCAUUGUGGGGUCAAACGGACAAAGGUACGUAGUAAUAUAUAGCUCUUGUUUGAGCCACAUUAUUUUCAUGACAAUGCAUUUUUGAAUAGUGUAUUGAUAAAAAAUGUGUGUUAAAAAAUAAGAAAAAUUUUGAAUUUGCAUGUAAUAUUAUUUUGUUGAAAAAUAUGUGGUUGAAAUGAUAUCAAAUUACUGUUUAAGAACGUAUUUAUUGAAAAAAAAAAGAUGUUUGUCAAACAGGGCCAUAAUAUAUUUCAAAUGGAUUAAGCCAAACGAACAUAGCCUUUGACACAAUGGGUGAUAUAACACUCACAACUGAGGUGUGGGUCCCCAUAAAUAAAAUAAUCCCGACCUCCCCCAUGUGUGUGUGCUAUGUCAAUUGGGGUGUUAUCCUCUAUGGCUAUGUAGAUGGUCCUUUUCAAAUUUCAAAAAGUAGAAAUGCAUUUGCAUAUCUCAAAUUUAAAAAUUAAAAGCAACUAAUUAAAGACCCAAAUUAACAGGAAAAACAAAAGCCACAUCCAAAUCCAAUUGAUAUAGGUUUGCUACGGAGCUAACUAGAUGGAAAAAAAAACAAAUGUCAAACAAGUAGAUGAUAGAUUUGUUACUUAGAUAGAAAAAAAAAAUCACAAAAAAUUGGCACAAGAAAAGAAAAUCUCAAAAUAUGAAUUGUGAAUUGGCAAUCUUGAACUCUUUGUGUAAGUCGAUUCUUCAUUUUUUUUUCUCUUCUUUCCGUAGGACUUUAGGGCAAUGGACGGUCCAAGACUACAAAUGCAUAUAAAAUGAUAAAAAGCAAAGUUUUGAUAAUAGGCAAUUGGGCUUGGCAAUGGGCUUGUACAAUUGGACUUGACUAUGGGCAAAAUUUUGUUUAAUUUACAUAUUAAAAAAAAAAAAGGUUUGGCAAGAAGUUUGAAUAAUUUACAAAUUUCACAAAAAAAAAAAAGGUCAAAAAUUUUUGUGAGGUCAAUUUACCCCACAUGACGCCAUGUGGGUCCGUCUAUGCUAGGGGAACUAAGAAGUCUCACAAAAAUGGGAACUGCACCUUGAUCAAUCACGACCUUGGUGUUAUCAAAUGUUCUAGAUGCAAUGUUUCUAAGAGCCCAAGCUACCUCAAACUAGAAACAGGAAUAACACAAUGCAUGAUCUGAAAAAAAUAGCAGUUGAAAUACAAGAAAUGAACAAUUAUUAGCACAAAUUUAAACCUGAAGCUGCGGGUAAUCAUCUCUUGCAAGAAACUCAACAAAUCAAGGAACAACUCCAAACUAUAACUUCCUCAAUUGGUGGAUUUCGUUCUGAGCCAAAAAAUAAAUAAAACGCAAACAAAAUCAGCUGAAAGAAAAAACUAACAAUAAACAGUAAAAGGUCCAUUUCAAAUUAAAUAGAAUCAACGAAGAUAAUUAAUGAAUUACCUAUUGAAAGAAGUUUGCGAAACUGAGUUGUGGCCUCGAGUUGCGGUGUGCCAUAAUUUGAGCAAACAUCAGCGAUCAUUUACAUUAGACUUUCUAACUGAAAGAUUGAAAAAUGAAAAUCCAAUAGCACAAAACCAAAAUAUUAUUCCAUCUAGAGCAAAGACAAAUCAAAUCAAACUAUUCUCAUCUCACGUUUCUUCAUGAAUUAAAAUGAACUUUAUAUCGCGAAGAUGCGAACAACAAGCAUAAUUAACGAAAACAUUGUUGGAAUUUAAAUUGGCAGUGUAUGGAACCAGAUUCACACAUAUAGUAUACGUAAUUUAGAUAUCGGAUUCACGCUUACCAUAUUUGGCAGCUUAUCGUAUGUGCUGCUUACCGUAUUUGGUAGGCUGCCGUAUUUGGCAGCUUAUCAGCUUACCAUAUUUGGCAGCUAUCGUAUUUGACAGUACAACUCAUCGUAUAUGACAGUUAAUUAACCACAGAAUUUACACAAACUGUUUGUUUUCAUAAACUAAUUUAGAUAAUACAAAAUUUGGACAAAUUGUUUGUUUUUAUACAAUAACUUAAAUAACACAGAAUUUGUACAAAUACAGUUUCAUAUAUAUAUAUAUGAGAGAGAGAGAGAGAGAUUAUUAACUAAAUUAUGAGAAUUAAAACAAAUUAGUCUACUUAAAUAUGUAUAACAGAUUACAUUAUUUGCAAAGACAGAAAAGCAUUAUAAAUUUCAGAAACUGAGAUUUAAAGCUAAAUAAAUUUGAAAGCAUGUAAAUUCUGUAAAUAACGAAAUGCACAAAGAUUUAAAUUGGGAAACAUAUAAAUCUGGAAAUAAACUUUUAACUCGAGGCCUGUGUAAACACAAUUUCCUUAAAACAGAUUCGCCCUCUCAUUAUGCGUGCUUGAGCUUUAAUCCGAGCGUCUGUUUUCCAGGAUACAAUCGUAUUACAACAGAAUCUAAGCACAUCAGACAUUGCUCCGACGAACUGAUUUAGCACUCGAACAGUAUCACCACCAAUAUGUAGACAGAGACUCAAAGUAUGUAUGCAAAACAAAGAACGACUAUGCAGAGGGUUUUUUUGUUGUUUUUUCGUGUCUAAGUAGUGGAGGAGCUUGCUGAAUAAAUAGGCUAUAAUGGAGACUUCAAGGCCAGGAGUUUCGUCAUUAACUCAGCAAUGAAUAUUGGAGUUUCGACUGUCUUAAAAUUUAAACAGUAAGUUGAAGAAAGCCAAAAAAUUGUAGCAAAACGUGGACUAUCCAAAGCGGCCAAUUUUUGCUCCGUUCUAUCCGAUAUUUGUGUACGCAGGUCACGCCUGCACACAAGUUCAAGGCUCGGUGUACACUUUCGAUCCUUGAUUUGCACCCCCUGCGUGCGUACGUAGAGAGAGUCUCUAUACUACAUAUGAUUACACCCUUCCAAAGUAUAAUCCUUUAUAAAGUGGUUCAUACUUUUUUCAAUUUCCUAUGUGGGACAAAGCUAAAUAUAGUUAUCUAUCAACAUAAACCAUUUCCAAUGGUUCACUUUAAACUCCAAUUUCUCAUUCAUCCGUUCAUCAAUUUCGACAAAUAAAUAUAUGGUUUCGAUGCUCUCACGGAGGUGAAUACGGAUUAACUUUGAUCUUCCAAAUUGGACCAACGGGUCCCACUCAAAUUUUAUGCCAAAAUUAGUCACUAGCCCAUUUUUUCCAACAAAUAUUAACCUUUCAAGCCAAAUUCGAAAUUGAACGAUGAACUAGUAUAACUUCUUGUUCAACAAUCAACUACAACAACGAAAUAAAAUCUCAUAUAAUCCAGUUGAUCAAAGCUCUAUGGUGUUCAUAAAAGCAGAAGAAUCAAUCGUAAGUGCGUCUUCACCUUCUUGUCCACCUGCUGAGCGUUGUUGACGGUGGGCUGAAACUGCUGCGCUUGAAGGCCUUCACGGUGCUUCUUCAGCAAGCUCUCCUCCCUUCGAUUUUUUCGAAUCUCCAACAUGUUGUCCUCGCGCAUCCAUUGCCACCUUGUACUUGCUCUGCCUUACCUCCGUUCUCGCGUUUGGCCUCAACGACAUCGUUUCCACGAUUUAGAAAACGAGAAAACCUCAAUUAAUUAAAUUCAACUUUUAUGUAUGUAUAACGACAAGAGUAAGAGAGAGAGAAUGAAGUUUUUGAGUGAUUGUGGAAUGGGCUGGUGAGGUGAUCUCGAGCCUGAGGUUUCAAGUUUCAACAACUGCCUGAUGAUCGAACGAACAUGGUUUCUCAUCUUAUUUAGGGUAAUGUCACUGAAUUCCAAAUUUGUAGUUUGACUGCCUGUUUUGCAACACAAAUAUUAGCUAGAUGAGGAUCAAUACUUGAGUAGAACAUCGUCCUACAUUUGGUACGAUCUUUCAAUAAGAAGUCGUCAUCUCAUCGGUCUUGUGAGGUGAUCUUGAUUAUUUGGUUUCAACAACCACCUGAUAAUCAAAUGGACAUGGUUUCUCUUCUUAUUUACAAUAAUGCCACUGAAUUUCAAAUUUGUAGUUUGAUUGCUUGUUUCCCAACAAAAUUAUUAGCUAGAUCAGGAUUGAUACUUGGAUAGGACACUAUCCUACGUGUGAUGCGAUUGUUCAAUGAGAAGUGACCACCUCAUCGGUCCGAUGAGGUGUUAGUUUCUCAUUACAUGGUUGCACCACAUGAUCGUCCUACCCCAAGUAUUUCUCAUCAAAUAGUUAUGGUAUAUCAACAUAAAAAAAUAUAAAAAAUUGUUGCUUGAGAUUUAAGAGUAAGGUGUGAGACUAGCAUGAGUUUUACUUGGUGUACAUCGAGUCUGACAUCAUGGAUGACAUUGUGUAAGUUGGCAGCUUUUUGUAUAUUGAUUUUAACAACAUUUUUUCUAAUCAAUGGCCAAAUUUCCAACAUAUAGGGGGAUGUCAUCCAAGAUGUCAAAGAGGAAUGUGCAUAUAAAUUAAUCCAACCGGCAUCUAUGUGAUGAGAAACUUGUGAAAUCAUGUUUGACUGAGUUAAAUAAGCUUACAAAAAUGGCCGAACAUGAUUAGUCUGCAAUUAAUAUUUGAAUUUAUAUUUUAUUUAUCGAAUAUUGUUAAAAAUUCUUAAUUGAUGGUCAACAACUUCAACCACAAUGAUUUGAUCAAAUCAAGAUCUAAAGGAUAAUGUUGUCACCUUUUGGAGCUCUUUCAUCAACAAUUGUUCUCUUACAAUAUAUUGUAAAACUAUUUAGAAUCUCAAGGAAUCAGAUCGCAAUUGGGCAAAGCUCGAAUUCUUGAUAGAUAAGAUCUUUUAUAACUAUCAACUGUCUAUAUGUAUGCAUACUCGCUACUUGACUUUGUUGGAUUCCUGUUUUCACACGUAUUUAUUUUGUACCAUAAAUGGUAUAAAAAAUUCAUUAUAUAAAGAAAGUCGAUUUUGUCAAUUCGAGAAAUAAACAAAAAGUACAAAAUAACUUCUUGUAAAUAUUCAAUGAUGAUCAAGUGCAUUGAGAUUUCAGUUGUACAAUAUGUACACAACAACUUACAUAAUGGUUUACCAAUAGAUAUUUUGUGAGAUUUAACUGGAUCAAAAUCUCAUGCAUUAAAUAAUUUUCCUACUUACAUUUUGACACCUCGUCACUUUAUGGAAAUAUUUCUGUGCAAGAAGAUUUUCUUUGAGAUUUUGUCGGGACAUCAGUUAACAUGACAUAACAGUUGGACAAUAUUGUCACAUUUUUUUAGGUUUUGUCACUUCUUUAAAAUUUCUUGUCACUUUUCAUUUAAUAGUCUUUCUCUUCUCUUUUAUAGGAUUAACAGUUAAUCGUACCAUAGGAAUAUUGAACAGUGACAUGAUACUUUUUAACAUUGUUAUACUUUUUUACACUCUGAACUUCAUAAAUUUGUUAUCAAAUUUAGCUUCUGUGUAAAAUAAGGAUUAUGCCAAUUAUUGUAUUGAUUGAUUGCAUAUUAAUGAUAAUAAUGGCAGCUUAAUAUGUUUUUAACGGUAUUAAAACUUAGCUUCUUGAAAAAGUGAUAUGAUAUAUCACUUUCUUAACUAACAAAUCAUUUUUCAUUUUAACAAAGGUUGUUGUUUGUGCAUUUUAUCGGGACAAUGAUUUCAACCAUUUGAUCACUUUUAUAUUCGUAAUCUUGUUUCCAUUUACCUUCAUAACAAAUGAAGAUGUUAAUUUUAUCUAUAUUUACGAAAAGAAAAAAAUAAAAUAUUAUAUUAUGUCACUUUUUAAUAUAAAGUAAGGGCUUGCUUAAGAGUUUCUACAAUACCAAUUAUGAACGUUUUUUAAAGUGACGAUUUUGAGCGUUUAUGAGCGGAUCGAUUUUGAAGGGUUUGAGUAGCGAUUUUUAAAAGGGCAACUUACAAAAAUAUCCUUAAAAUUAGAUAUCUUUUGAAAAAUCAUAUGAAAAGUUUUUUAGAAGUAAAAAAUAAAGUGCAAAAAUAAAAAGUGACACAAUGUCACUUUUAAAAAUUUAAUGCCACUUUUAUAUUAGAAAAUGAAAUAAAAUCUCAUUUUGAUUAAAAAGAAAUGUUUGCCACUAAAAUAGUGAUAGAAAAUUCAAGAAGGCAACUGAAAAGAAGUGACAAAUUCAAAAAAAGUGACAAGUACUUAAAAGUACAAAAAUUCAAAAAAGUGUGAGAGAUUUAAAAAAAAAAAAAAAGUGAUGAAUUUAAAAUGGGAAAAUUUCAUAAAUAAGAGGAUAGCUAUGACCUAUUUCAAAAGUAAGAAAAAAGGUUUCAAAUUUCAAAAAUCAGAUAUUUAUUAAAAUUUAUUUAUAAUUUAUUUAAUUAAUUAUAUAUCUUAUUAAUUAAACAAAUUAAGUCAUAGAUCUAUAAUUUGGUCAAAGAUUUAUAAUUUAAUCAGUCAUAUAUUAUUUUUCGCUCUGAAAUUAAAAUUUUUUUAACAUAGUAAAUUAUUUUACGGUCACAAUUCAAAAAUUUACAGGUCACACUUUGUUCAUCCGUCACAGAUACACGUCACAAUUGUGUUUAUAGGUCACAUAUUUUUUGUCACAAUUUAUCUUUUUUAUUGGUCACGGAUUAACCAAUUUAAUGGUCACAAUCAAUCAAAUAAUAUGUACUCACAACCAACACUUGCGACGACCACUGCUUCCAAUGGCACCACUGUCAGAACCACUACCACCACGAGGUUACUGAACUUUGCAAAAAGUUUUCCAGGAGCUCUUGUAAGACUUUUUGCAAAGUUUAGUGAUGAAUGGAAUGAUUUUUAAAGUUCAGUGAUCCCGUGGAAACCUUUUGCAAAGUUCAGUGACCACUUGUAAAUCUUUUGCAAAGUUCAAUGAUGAAUGUGGUGAUUUUUAAAGUUCAGUGACACGGUAGAUAACUUUCUGUAAAGUUUAAUGACUAUUAGGGUAAUUAACCCCCACUAAGCUCAUAUUAUAUAUAAUUUUAUCAUUUUAGAGUUUCUUAUUUUAUGUGAUAGUAUCUAGGGAGAAUUGUAGUUGGGAUCCCAAACCUCUCAAAUUAUUGUAGAUUAUACCAUAACUUUUUAUUUUUGCAGUUGGGGUCCCAAAACUUUCAUCUCUAUUGCAGCUCUAGGACGUGGACGGAAUUCACCAAUUUGUUGUUAGUUGGCCAAAAGACAACGGUCCGAAACGAUUUAUUUAUUUUAAUUUUUAUAUAGGAUAUUUUGGUUGGAUCGUUGACUUUUGAUCAACUAACGGCAAUAUGGAUGGAUUUCAUCCACAUGUUCUCCAGAUGCACUUAAGAUGAAAGGUCUAGGACCUAGCUACAAAAAUGAAGGACUUGCAACAAUUUAAAGCGGACCACAACUGCAAUAUUUCUUAUCUAUUAGAAGUUCCACCACGUUAUUUUAGGCUUCAAAAAUAAACUGUAUGAUGUAAACUGCUCAAAUUUUCGUAUUGGAAUUUCAUUAUAAUUUUGAAUUAAUCCAGUGGUACAUAAUUGGGUAUACCUAAUUAUUCGGGUAGACCCCCCACCCCAUGUGAGAGGGGUGUACACCCUUAUGUACCACUAGCAAGAUUUUAUGAUUUUAGACGACAAGCGUGUUGUUCAUUGUUAAUAAAUAUUAUUUCAUAUAAAUUCAUAUAUAAAAUAUAACUUAAUUAAGAAAUUGUAAAGAAAAUAAUAAUUAUGGUACCAAUUUUCUGUAUCUAAAAGCCUAAAAUCGAUAACUAAUUACACCCAAAGUAUAACGCGGUGAUUGUAGUACAACUUUGGGGUAUCGUAUCCACAGGGAGAUGGAAAAUAAUCCAAAGAAUCAAAAGCUAGGGUUUUGUUGUGAUUUUAUGUGAAUGUAAUGUGUCAAUUGAAAUAGAAUUCAAAUAACAAUGUAUAAGUUAAUGAAAUUUAAAUCAAUGUGUGAAGCAGUGAAGCACCGGAAUUCUCUCGAUUAGAUUGGGUCAAUCAAUGUCAAUUAUGCAUGAAGUUACUCAAUUAAAGGUUUUCAUCAUAACACUUUAAUUGAAAGAUUUAACAUUCAAAUCUAUUCAAUUCCACAAUAAUUCCCCAACCUAGAUUUCUUUCAAAAUAUAAUUUCACAAUAAUCCAUUUAAAUUAGAUCCAAAAGCAAUUAUAUACAUCAAGCAUAUGGAAAAGAAUCACACCAAUAGAAGAUUUAAGAUUGAAAUUCAAUAAAUACUUCAAUUAUUCGAUGGAAAAAACGUGAUUGAAUCCAUGAAAAUUUAAUACAAAUUAAACCAACCUAAAAACAUGUCCAUAAGAAUAAAAAAUCUAAAUCUAGAAUUGUUUAACAAUGAAAGAGCGUAUUUAUGCAAGAAAAGAUAUGAAAAUUCCCAAAUCUAACCGAGUUCCUUCGUGAUUCAGCAAUAUGUUUAGUUUUCCAUGAAUUUCUUGAGCCAAAAACCAAAGAAAAGUGAUAGGAAGUGGAUGGUACUGGUUCUGGGACGUUUUGGGGCUUAAAACCGUGUGCAAAACGCAUUUCCAUAAUAGGUUGAACCGAAUAAGGAAAGUAAAUUUUCGGCCAGAAUUUUCUGUGCGACUGCUUUCCAUAUUUUGGCCAUAACUUUAUCUCCUGAAGUCCAAUUGAGGUGAUUCAAGUUGCAUUGGAAAGAUAACUCAAAGUGAUACAAUUUUGCUAGAAAUAUCUCUUCCAAAUUAGGCCGUUUACUAGGUCAAAAAUUGAUCUUAAUCUUCAACUGAAAAUUUGAAAAAUCCUUAUGCAGUUGGAAUUUGAUUUGUGAAAAAAGUUUGGGCAUAUUUAACUUCUUUUUACUAUUAAUUGCAUCCAGUGGACUCCAAAAUUUAUCAAAUCAUCAUUCCAUCGCCGGUCUCAUCUUUGGAUUAUUUGCAACUUGGCCACUAAACUUUCACUUUGGUUAUUUUUCACUCAUUUCUUCCGAGUUUCGCCUUUUUCAUCAAAUUGCGACCUAGAAAAAAAACAUAAGAGUGAUGAGUGCAUUUUGACAUCAAGUAAUCAUACUAAUAUAACAAUUAAGAGGGAAAAAAUAUCAUAUAUUACACUCUUAUCACACCUCCAACUUGCUUAUUGUUAGUCCCUAGCAAUUUAAUGCAAAACAAAACAAAUGAGUGAUUGAUCUAUAUUACAAGUAAAGUUGUUGAGUUCCAAUUCAACUGCAGUUCAUUAUCUUUUCAAAUUCAAUACCACAAGAAAUUAACACUGUUAUGAUCAUCAAGAUAUCAAAAAUACUGCUAAAUAUGUGAGUGUAUGUCAAGCCAUAGUCAUCUUACUGCCAACUCUAACACAUGUAGCAUCAAGUAUGCCUUGAGCCAAAGGUUCAACCCAUAACUCACAGGUAUCAAAAUGUUUUGUGCGAUUUUCUCUCUAUGGAGCUGAGAAAUGGAUACACUCAUAAUUUGGAGGCUUAAAUAUUUCUGAAUGAGCAAUAAGCGAACAUUGAUAUUAUGAUAGGUAUACUGUCAAAUGAGAAUUCAUCACUUUCUUACCACAAUCAUAAUUGGGAUCAAAACAGCCAAUGUAAAGGGUUGUAGUGUAGUUUGGGUCAGGUUGUAUGAAAAUGAGGAUAUAAAGAUUCAAGGACUUCCAAGCAUGUAGUUAGGCAUCUCAUCAAGUAUCUCGAUAGAUUAUAUCCUUCGAUUAAUACGUUCUUUAGUAUUUCAACCCCAAAAUCAAUCAGUUUUUUUUUGUCUUGUUUUCCUUUUUCUUUUUCUUUUUCUUUUUCUUUUUCUUUUUUUUUUUUGGUUGUUGAAAGGUACAAUUUUUUUAUCCUAUAUUGACUUUCAUCAUUUCCCAAGUAACUUACCAUUUUACCACAAGUCAUAUGUUCUCAAAAGAGUUUCCAAUUCACAAAAUCAAUGAAUGCUCAUUGCUAUUUUAGUGCAAGAUGGCUCUCGAUCCUCAUUAACUCUCACAUGAAAACUUUAGCAAGAAACUCCUCUAACUAUAUGUGUUAAACCACUAUCUUACCACAAGGCUUGUAUGCGCAAAAGAGUUCAGCAAAUGUCUUCACAUCCAAACUUUCGCAAACAACAUUAAUUCCUAGUGGCAUAUAUUGUCAUUCAAGAACAUGUAGCGAAUUAGAGACUUAAAAAAAUUUGAUUAAAAUUCUAUGUAAAGCAUGCAAUUCUCAAUAAAAUUUAAGUUAAACUCUCCCCCAACUAAACAUUGCAUUGUCCUCAAUGCAAAAACAUGCCUGCCAAAUAAAGGUAAGGAAGAUAUCACCUGAGUACCGAAGUGAAUCACAUGAAUUGAAGUAUAAAAAGCUCGAAAGUCUUCAAUAGAAAGGUUAAUGCAGAGAAUGAAAAUAAAAUGAAUGCAAUGAAUAAUGCAUGGACUAAAUCUAGAGAGAGUGCAUAAAUCAAAAUAAAAAGAAAGAGAAGGGAAUGAAUUCCCAUUGGGUUGCCUCCCAAGCAGCACCUUUGUUUAUUAUCGUUGGCUCGACCCAAUAUUGCCUUCUUUAGCUCGCAUCCAGCCAGGGCGUUGUCAACAUUCUUUGCAUUGCACCAAGCUCAAUGGAAAUGAUCGCCGGUGAUGAUCCACAAUCCUGCAAAUCGUCAAAGGCAGCACAAAUAUUAGUAUAUUCCCCAUCAUCAUACCCUACUGGAAUUUCAGAAUUUAAAAGGAAAGAAUUUGAUGGAUCGGGGUCAAUAAGCGCAUGUGCUUCCUUCUCAACGAGUGCAUCAAUCAUGUAUUUUGACGACACCCAUCAUCUUUCUCGGGCUGUUUCAUGACGUGAAAGAUAUUGACAUCUAAGGUCAUGUUCCCAAAAGAUAGCUUCAGCAAACCAUUCCUACAAUUGAUAAGAACGUUAGUUGUAGCAAGAAAAUGUCUACCAAGAAUAAUGGGAAUUUUGGAGUUACCAUUCACAUCAAAAACCAUAAAAUCCACGGGGUAGUAAAACUUGUCAAUCUAUACUACUACAUCCUCAACUACUCUCCUAGGUCUAAUGGUGGAUCGAUCAGCUAAUUGUAGGGCCACAGAAGUAGGUUUGAUCUCACCUAGACCUAACGCCAAGUAUAUAGCAUAAGCGUGAUGUUGACACUAACCCCUAAGUCGAGGAGAGCUUGUGAAAUCUAAUGGUUUUCUAUAACACAAGAAACAGUAGGACGACCAGGGUCCUUAUAUUUUGGCGGGACUUUUUGUUCAAUUAUUGCACUCACAUGUUCAGUUAAGAAAGCGAUUUUCUUGACAUGGUGCUUUCUUUUUACAGUACACAAGUCCUUAAGGACUUUAGCAUAUGUGGGGACCUGAAAAAUCACAUGCAAGAGAGGUAGAUUGACUUUUACUUGCUUGAGGUGCUCUAGGAUUUCACUGUGUUGACCAGCAGAUUUAGAGGUCGACUUGAGGGCUUGAGGAAAGGGCACUCUAGACGGAUUUUUUCACUAACUCCUCACUAGGGGUGCUUUCUUCAAUACUAUUGGGAUUCUUCUCACUUUUCCUAGAUAUGGGGGUUGGUUCUAUGACUUUUUCAGAUCUAGUGGUUAUGGUAUUCACUUCCUUAAAGUUGGUCCCUCCUGAUCCUGGAGUUUGUGCCAUGUGUUGUCCCUUUAGAUUUGGUUGAGCUUGAGCUAGAAACUUCCCACGUUCUCCUACAACUAAGGCAUUGGUUAGUUUGGACACAUGAUUCUUUAUCUCUUUGCUUUCCUCAACUAACUGGCCAAUUAUAGUCUCAAAUUUUUUAUUUGUUUUGCCCUGUGCCUCAAUAAAUGUAUGUAGGGCGUCUUCCAAAGAGUUCCUAGAGGAUGUGGUUUGGUAUGGAAGUACAGUGUAAGCUCUAUUUGACUGGUUUCCAGGUUUCCAGCUGAAAUUGGGGUGAUUUCGCCACCUUCGAUUAUAGGUUUCGAAAUAGGAAAUAGGGAGUAUAGGACUUUUGAUAUAUGCCUAAAGCAUUACAGUAUUCCUCAUACAGUCCUCUUAUCUCAACAUAAAUAGCACACUCUUAUGCUGGAUGAUCAAUUCCACCACACACAAAACAAGGCCCUAAAAACUCGACACGGGAAAUAGAUUGUGUGGAUUUCAAAUCCUUAGCACGUAAGGCUUCAAGUUCUCUAGUAAGGGUUUCUACCUUGGCUCUAAGGUUGUCCUCCUCCCUAAGUUGGUAAAUGCCUAUGCUAGUUGGGUUUCCUGUGGGUCGUGACCUAUUAGUACUCUCAGUGGCACUCAGUCCAGUCCAGUAUGAGCUUUCUCAACUAAAUCAUCUAAGUAGUCUAUAGCCUCAUCUGGGUCUUUUUGCAAAAAUUCUCCAUUACACAUCAUUUCAGUAAAUUGACGCCCGUUAGGUGUUAGGCCUUCAUAAAAAUAACUCACCACACGCCAACUUUCAUAACCAUGGUGGGGACAAAGGGCUUGCAAUUCUCUGUACCUUUCUCACGCCUGAUAUAAAGUUUCAUUGUCCUUUUGGACAAAAGAGGAAAUUUGUUUCUUCAGGGCAGUGGUUUUAUGAUGUGAAAAGUAUUUACCAAAGAAUGCUUGUGUCAUUUAAGCCCAAGUCCCAAUCGAACGUGGUCUCAAUAAAUACAAGUAGUUUUUUGCUCGUUCUUUGAGUGAAAAUGGAAAAAAUUUAAGCAUGAUUGUGUCCAUUGUACCAUGUUGAUUGUGGGAGGUUGAAACCACAUCUUCAAAUUCCAGAAUAUGCACGUAUAGAUUCUCGCUUUCAAGACCAUGCAAAGUGGAAAGAAGUUGAAUCAUUCCUGGUUUGAGAUCCUUGCAUGGCAUAUUGGGCGAAAAUAUAAUGCAUGAUGGUGUAUAUGUGCGUGUGGGAUGAAGGUAGUCUUGUAAAGUCCUAUAGGGCUCAUCGCCCUUCUCACUAUCAGACAUGGGGUUAUAUGGUGUAGUGUUGGAUGCAGAAUCAAAAGGAAGGUUAGAAAGAGAUUCAAACACUGGUAGAGGCCUUGCAAUGAAUCAUCCUCGCUCAUCUCGAUCCCUAUUCAUUACCCACAAAAAUGCAAAUAUGUGAGAAAUAACAAAAUAACUAAGAAAAUAAACUAAACUAAUAAAAAAAAUAAAAGAGGAAUGAAGUCACCUUUUUGCUCGAGGAUCCUUCAAUUACUUGUAUCGUCUCUCCGACAGUGGCGCCAAAAUCUGAUUACGCCCAAAAUAUAACGCGGUUAUUGUAGUAUAGAUUUGGAGUGUCGUAUCCACAUGAAGAUGGAAAAUAAUCCAAAGAAUCAAAAGCUGGGUUUUUGUUGUGAUUUUAUGUGAAUGUAUGUGUCAAUUGAAAUAGAAUUCAAAUAACAAUGUAUAAGUUAAUAAAAUUUAAAUCAAUGUGUGAAGAAGUAAAGCAUCGGAAUUCCCUCAAUUAGAUUGGGUCAAUCAAUGUCAAUUAUGCAUGAAUUUACUCAAUUAAAGGUUUCUUCCUAACACUUUAAUUGAAAGAUUUAACAUUCAAAUCUAUUCAAUUCCAUAAUAAUUCCCAAACCUAGAUUUCUUUCAAAAUAAUUCCACAAUAAUCCAUUGAAAUUAGAUCCAAAAACAAUUAUAUACAUCAAGCAUAUAAUGGUAAAGAAUCACACCAAUAGGAGAUUUAAGAUUGAAAUUCAAUAAGUACUUCAAUUGUUCGAUGGAAAAAAUGUGAUUGAAUCCAUGAAAAUUUAAUACAAAUUAAACCAACCUAAAAACAUGUCCAUUGGAAUAGGAAAUCUAAAUCUAGAAUUGUUUAACAAUGAAAGAACAUAUUUAUGCAAGAAAAGACAUGAAAAUUCUCAAAUCUAACCGAAUUCCUUCGUGGCUUCAGCAAUAGGUUUAGUUUUCCAUGAAUUUCUUGAGCCAAAAACCAAAGAAAAGUGAUAGGAAGUGAAUGGUACUGGUUCUGGGAUUUUUUGGGGCUUAAAAAUGUGUACAAAACACCUUUCCAUUAUAGGUUGAACCGAAUAAGGAAAGUAAAUUUUUGGCCAGAAUUUUCUGUGCGAUUGCUUUGUGUACUUUGGCCAUAACUUUAUCUCCCAAUGUCCAAUUGAGGCGAUUCAAGUUGCAUUGGAAAGUUAACUCAAAGUGAUACAAUUUUACAAAAAUAGGUCUUCCAAAUUCGGAUGUUUAUUAGGCCAAAAGUUUAUCUCAAUCUUCGACUGAAAAUCUAAAAAAUCCUUAUGCGAUUGAAAUUUGAUUUGUGAAAAUAUUAUGGGCAUAUUUAACUUUUUUGACUUCUAAUUGCACCCAAUGGACUCCUAAAUUUCUUGAAUCAUCAUUCCAUCGUCCGUCUCAUCUUUGGAUUAUUUGCAACUUGGUCCCUGAACUUUCAUUUUGGUCAUUUUUCACUCAUUUCUUCCGAGUUUCGCCUUUUUCAUCAAAUUGCGACCUAGAACAAAACAUAAGAGUAAUGAGUGCAUUUUGACAUCAAAUAAUCAUAUUAAUAUAACAAUUAAGAGGGAAAAUAUCAUAUAUUACACUCUUAUCAAUAACCGAAUUAGAGCCGUUGGAUUCUUUAUUUAAGACGAAGACCAUUCUUAAACCCAAACUAAAGCAGCUAAUUUGGCUGGAUUCUUGUACAAUUAGUAAAAUUCAAAAUAAAAUUUCCCGUCCUUUAUUCAUUAAAAGUACCACAUAAUUGCAUCUACGUUCAUUCCUGUCCUUCCUUUCCUUUCUCUACUACUUUGUUAAUAUCUUCAAUCCUCAAAUUUAAGUUUAUCUUUUCCUUUUCCUAAGUUUAAAUGGUUGUAUCAACUGAACGAGAAAUGUUCCAAAUAAAUUCUUCAUGGGUUAUUUUGCAUCAGAUGUUAUCGACUUCAAAUUCAUCGAAAAAACUCUGUAAUAUAUUUCCCUAUUUCAGCCAGAACGUUUAUUUCUCCUUGAUGGAUCACUUGAAGACCAUGUCCAGAUUUUUGGAAGCAGACGUUUUUAAAGCCCUUAGCCAUGUUUGGUUGAGUAGAGUGGACCAAAAAAGUUCAAAAUCUUAUCCAUCGAGUCAUUUGCUCAAAAUCUUAUCCAUCGAGUCAUUUGCUCCAAUCCAUUAGAGUGUACCAAACAUGCCUUCAAAUUUAUGGCAGAAAACAAAGGAUAUGAUCAAUAAAUGUGCAACAAAAACACCCAGAAUGUGGAGCAUCACCAGAAUGCAGCUUCUAAUCAUCCUCUUCCUGCCAAUAUGUUUCAAGUAUCUUCACGGCCUCUUCGCAUAUUUCACUGUCGUCAUGAGUCUGGAGGUUCUUAAUAAACUGUAAACCCCCAGCAUCAUCAAUCAUCUGAGCAAAGACAUUCACAUCUUCGGGAUGACCUUGGUUCUUCUCAGCUUCUCCAACCUUCAGAAUGUUCUCAAGGCCUUCCAAGCAGAUUUUUAUGACAUGCUGUUCGUUGGGAUUAACUAGAAGAUCGCACAUUGGCUCUAUACAACCCUCGUUCACCAGGAACCUACCACAAAGAUGAAGCAUUAAUAAUCAACCUAAAUGUACAAUAAGCUAUGAGAAUAUGACAAUAGCUAUGAAGAAUUUACUUGAUUUGCUCAUUAGUUCCCUUAGUCGUGGCAUUAUAGAUGACCUCAGCAGCAGCAUUAAAAAUUUCGGCCUCUUGAAGCAGUGGAAGAAGAGGUGAAAUAAUACCAGCCUCAAUCACAGCCUGUGUAUUUGUUAGAUAAAUUGGUGCAUUAUAUUCCAUUCACUGUAAUACAUGCAUGAUUUUAUUUGCUAUUGACAUGUAAAUUAUUGAAUAAUAUUUUGACUUACCAAAAUCUAGAUAGGUGCAUGAAAAAUAAUAAAAAUUACGAUUUACUAACAUUUAGGAAAAUGCAGAAAUUAGAAGAAGAUAAGAUGAAACGUUAUCUGUGAAUGCAAAUUUCCUUAAGAUGAAUUUCACCCCGACACUACUGCUAAUAUGAUCAAAUGAACGCCAGUCUCCCAAGAUACAAUGCUCCUUUCAUAAUUAAUAUAGUAUAAUAUUAAUUUUAUUUGACUUACCAACACUUGAUCACACUCUUCUAAAACAGAAGAUGUUGAAUACUAAAUAUCAAUCAGAAAACUCAAAAAGUAAUUAGAAAAUUAUUUUGAUAUAAUUUGGAGAAGAAAAGAAUUAGAAAUUAAUUAUUUGGAAUAGAUUUGGAUUGAAGAAAAUGAAAUUAGGAGGAUCGAAUUUUUAGAUUUCAUGUAUUUUUUCGAAUGAUCGCAUUUUUUUGGCACAAAUUAUUUUAAUCUCACCAUUUCAAGAUUAAUGUUCUAGGUCGUGCCUUUAUCAAAUGUCAUUACUCUUUGUUAUGCAUAUUUGGCACUUGAAGAGUCGAACCCAAUUGAUGUACCUAUAGUUGAAUUUUUUUUUUCAAUUCACACAUUUUAAUCUUUUUAUAUGCCCUUAAAUCUCAAAAUCUCCCAUGUGAAUGGAAGAAGUCAACUCAGAACAAGAAAGACGAAGAAGAGUACCACUGAAAUAUAAUGCAUUAGGAUCGAACUCACUUGACUAACAAGCAAAUGCAGUGUUUUGACCAUUAUUGUAAGUCUAAACAAUAGAUCGAAAACAUUAUAUCUCAUAUCAAACUUUGAUUUUCUAUUGUGUACAUUAUUUUGGCCUUGAACCUUCUUGAUUCUGCUAGUGCGUUAGAGAAUUUUCACAAGUAAAACUCUCAUAGAAUUGGCCAAAUUCACAAUAUCAUAGAAAUGGGAAGGAAUUAAAACUUCGAAGUGCUUUUCAUUGAGUCAAUCUUAGCAAAUUUUCCUAUUGAACCUAGUUCGUGGGAUCUCCCGUUGCCAAGUUAGGUUUCCACUAAACCGACCCAUUAAUGUAGGCGUUAUACCCAUUUUCCUCAAUGCACAAUUUAUUCACUCUCUAGAUAACAUCUUUAUAAACAGAUUCGGUAGUUUAUUUUUCGAUAAAACAAUCAGUAUUAUUCCAUUCGAGAGUAAGUACCAAAUGAUAUUAUGCCUACAACUUAUACAUCAAAACUUACCAUUAUAAUACACGACAUUCUAUGCCAACAUAUUGUGGCUAGCUAUCUCAAACAAAUGAUAUAGCAAGCACAAAUUGUCACCAAUUAGAAAACCCUUCUAAAUUCUUUGAAGUCAUCAUGCUUCCUUCUAAUUUUAUUGAAAGCUCUAUUUUCUUUCAAUUCUCACAUUGUAUUGAGGAUUUUUCACGAAACAACUCCACUCUCAAUAAUGAAACAUAUUUUCUAGUAGAUUUUGAAUUCUUGCAUUGGAUAUCCAGCACAUCUUAAUUUUAACAAGGUAUUCACUACGGUGUAGUUUAUCAUUUUAAAUAUUCCAAAUUCUAAUUUGAAGGAGCAAUGCUACCCCCAAGUCUUGGGGUGCGACCUCACUUUAAUUGAUAAUAUUAUACAAAAUAACAAUCAUACCCCUACAAUUUUGAAUAAGACUCAACUUAGCAAUAUAAUAUUUGUCUAAGUAUGCAUAUAAAGUUUGAUCACAUCGAUAAUUAUGUUUAUCUAUCUAAUAAACAAUUUUAUUCUAAAUGUAGUCAGCAUAUAAAAUGACUAGGAAUGUCAAUGUCAUAUAAAAGCUCACGUGCAUUUUCAUAUUAAAGAAUGUCAAUUAACAAAAUAAAAGUGAAAAUUCAUCUUUUAAAAAAAAAAAAAAAAAAUUGCAGCCUCGCCCAAGUUUAAUUGGGCAUACAGAGAUAUGACCCAAAUUGAGAUCAUAAGUUGCACCACGUUGGACGAGACAAAAAAUGUGCAAAAUGUUGUUCAGAUUAUAAUAUUGCAGUUAGAAUAAAUUAUUGACUGCAGAAACAAUAGAACAAAUUAUAUAAAAAUGUGUGAAAUAAUGAGUGAAUGAUUUGCAAACCGACGCUUGUAUAUACAUAGUUUCCUUAAAACAGAUUCGAUCCCUGACUGUAUGUACUUGAUGUUUCACCCGAGCAUAUGUUUUCCAAGAUACAUCAGAAAAUCAGUAGAAUCUGAGCACUGCAAAUGCUACUCCAGCGAAUAGUACUUGUGAUCGAACAAUAUAACCAAAAAAGGAGGAAAAUACCAAUUUCAGCAAAUUCGAUAUGCAACAUGCAAGUACGAUAUGAACACAGUGGAAAUCCGGUAUGCAGUGUGCAAAUCCGAUAUGGAAACAAUGCAAAUUCGGUAUGCUAUGUGCAAAAUUGGUAUGCAAGUCACAAAAGUGGUAUGCAUGGCAUAAAAAGUCUAUUUCUCCUAUUGUGGAAAAAAGGUUCAAAUAUAUAGAUUUAACCCCCAUAACGGGCGAGUUAAAUUUUUCCAUCAGUUAUGCUUUGCCAUUAACCUAAAUUUUAAUGAUAAAUAAUUCUGGAGUUUUAACAGUUAUGAAUUUAAAAGGUCAGCUUAAGAAAGCAAAAAAUUAGCAAAAUGUGGACAAUCCAAAGGGACCAAUUUUGCUCUAUUCGGUCCGACAUUUGUGUACGCAGGUCCCACAGCACACAAGUUCAAGGCUCGAUGUACAAUUUUGAUUCUUGAUUUGCACCAGCUGCAUGCGUACGUGGAGAGAACAUCUAUGCUACACAUGAUUACACAUUUUCAAAGUGUAAUCCUAUAUAAAGUGGUUUUUGCGUUCAUCAACUUCCUAUGUGGGACAAACCUUAAUUGGUUUCCUCCAACACAUGAACUCCUUUUUAAUUGGCAUAUUUUGAGCUCCAAUUUCUCAUUCACCCAUUCAUAAAUUUUUUCAAGUGAAUAUAUGAUUUUGAUGCUUUCAUGGAGGAGAACUCGGAUCAACUUUGAUCUUCCAAAUUGGACCAACGGGUCCCACUCAAUUUUUAUGCCAAAAUCAGCCAUUAACUUAUUUUUUUCCAACACAAAACACACCAUACUAUUGAGAAACACUAUCCCACAACUUUAGGUUACAUUUGAAAUUAAUCAUAUAGUGUGCACAAAAAUUAUGCUACAUAAGCCAAAUCACCAACAUUCACUUUCUCUAAACCCAUCAGCCUAGUGACAUUUCACCAGUUGAGUUCCUCGUGGAUACUGCCAUUUGAUUUAUCUUUGUGGUUGAUAAAUGAAAUUCAAGAAAUUGCACUUCUUAAAAGAAGAGACAUGAUGGUUAGCCACCAAAUUUCAACGAGAGCAGUUAGAAUACAAAUAACAGGCAAUGCUUUAUUCCUCCCAACAACCCCUUGCCACUUCUCAAAUUCUGUAAUUAGAGAAGCGUAAAUAAAUUUCACUACUAAUGCAUGCAUAUUUUUAACUAGAACGAGUAGAAAAUCAGAAUCCAAAUGCUUCACUAUCUUUUCAGUUUACCAAGAAAUCGAAGAAAAAUUAAAGAGAGUUCUUUCACAUACAUUUCAAUAUACAGAACAUAUCUACAAUAUCAAUUCCAGAAUUAAGAAUAUGUUCUUGUCAUGCAAUAAAACGUUUAAGUAAACUAGUAUUAUGUAUGUAUAAUGCACAAUAAAGUAAUCGAGUAAUAUGAAAGAAUAAUGCACGAAUAACAAAGUCAAAAGCAAACACAAACUAAAGCAGCGCAUCCACGUAAACUGAUUUUGACAUCAGUAUUAUAAUUAGCAUGAAAAUCCAUCUUAAGCUUGUUCGAUAAAUUGGUGCAUAAUUAUAUUCACAUACAUGAUUUAAGUUGCUAUUGACAUCCAAAUUAUCGAAUAAUAUUUUUGACUUACCGAAAUCAAAAUAUGUGCAUGAAAAUUAAGUAAAACAACGACUUACUGACAUUUAGGAAAAUGCAAAAAUUAGAAGGAGAUGAAAUGAAGCGAGACAUGCAAAUGCAAAUCUCCUUAAGAUGGAUUUCACCCCCUACACUACACUGGUGCUAAUAUUUUGAUUAUAGAGAUCAAUCUUUGAAGAUCCAAACAUCCUUUCAUUGAUUCCUUGAUUCAACCACAAGUUGGGAAAAGCAUCAAAAUUACGUAAUCCAAAGCACUCACUUCCUACACACAUACACGAAGAUACUUUCUCAAUAACUUUCAAAGGUUGUUAAAGAUUGAGAGAGAUUGGACCAGAAGUACAGGAAGGGUACAAGAACAAGGUGUUCUUGGUGAUCUAGAGGAGAUAGACACUUCCAGAAAAUCGAGAACAAGUGUGAGUGAAACAUGUUCCAGCUAGUUUUGGAGAUUGCAGGAAUUAGAUCAGCAAGUUUAGUGGGAUUUCUAGGCUGGAUAAUAUUGUAAGUUUAUAUUGUCUAUAGUGGAGGUUACUAGUUUGGUCUCGGAGUUUUUACUUAAUUGGGUUUUCUCCGUCAACACAUCUUGAUUUAUUUACUACUUUAUUUGUAAUUGUGGUAAUGCAACAUAGGAUUAACUUGACUUGUUUAACUAAAUAUCUAAAAACAAUUAAAAAGUGACUUGUUGCUUUUAAUUGUAUAACUUUGCACGUUGGGUCUAAAUAAAUCGGCUAAAUUAGAACUUUUAGUUUGUCUCCUCAGAUACAAUGUUUCUUUUAAAUUUAAUAUAGUACAAUAUUAAUUUGUCAGACGAACCAACACUUAAAUAUACUCUUCUAGGACGGAUUAUAUAGAAUAUUAAAUAUUGAACACGAAGCUCAAAAAAUAAUUAGAAAAUUAUUUUGACAUAAUUUGGAUAAAGAGAGAUAUAGAAAUCAAUUAUUUGGAAUUGAUUUGAAUUGAAGAAAAUGGAAUUAGGAGGGUCCAAUUUAUAGAUUUCCAUAUAUCUCUUCCAAUGGUCAUAUCUUUAGGCUAGAAUUAAUUUUAACUCUUAGAUAUCACAAUUUCAAGAUUGAUGGUCUACAUCGCACUUUUAUCAAAGGUCAUGACUCUUUGUUAUGCACUUGAAGAGUCGCACCCAAUUGAUGCAUUUAUUGAAGACUUUUUCCAAUUUACCCAUUUUAAUCUUUUUAUAUACCUUCAAAGUAUUAAGAUGGCAUCUCCUCGGCUUCCUUGACUUUAUAAGAUAAACGGAAUUUAAUGGAAGACUUCAAAUUAGAAACAAAAACAGAAAAAAAAAAUGUCAAAUUCUUCAAAACAGAGUUACUAAUACGAGAAAUUGGUGGAAACUAAAAACUUUGCUGUAACAUCAUUCCUGCCCCCUUCGCCAAUUGAUACUUAUUUAUCUCAAAGCAUUAAUUAUGAAUGCAUAGAGUAAUACUUAUUCCAUAGUAAUUUGCAUACCUGAAUAUGAUCCUUAUUCCGUCCAAUGAUUUUUGAAAUGAUAUAACAAGUGUCCGUCUUGUAACUGUCUGGGUAAUUUAGUGUCAACACCUUACACAGGCGAGGAAGAACCCCAUUAUCAAUGAUAAGCUGGAAAUCAUUCAACAGAAGCAAGUUUGUAAAAAAAGGUAAACAUUGGUUGACAUCCUUAAUUACAGGGUUAGCAUUAAACUUCUUAUUAGAGUUCUUAAAAAUCGGUCAAAGAUUAUAAGGAUUAAUUUCUCAGGAUGAUACUUGAAGCCACCCCCUUGGCAUUUGCAAAUUCAACUAAUGAGUUUCAGAUAGUAACUUUUGAAUUUUGUACAAUUUUUGGAUUCCUAGAGAUGGUAUGCGCUUCAAACGUUUUAUAAGCAUUGUACCAAAACUGAACAUAUAUGGAUCAUGAAUAUGACAAAAGCAAUGAGGACUGAAGCUGUUCUUCUAAUGAUUAUUUAGCAAUAGAAGCAACAAGACUGUAUUUGCAAAAUGAAUAUAUCUGAACCAUGAAUGAUCAAGCAAUGCAUUUUUGGCUUCAUUGACAAGGACACCCCUCUCCACCUAAGGUAAAUAUAAUAUACAAUGACUGUUAAGUAUGUAGACCAUCGGAACUGCUAAAAGACAAAAAAAUGGCCUGCCAUAUACAUCUUUUGUAUGAAACAAGCAAACAAGAGUUGGUUGUGUAUGGUAGACAUUUGAUGGACUACCAUUGGAAAGGUGAACAUAUCACAUAACAAAUAUUUAAUGUGGUCAAAGGAAGUUUUCUAAUUAAGGUUAUGUACAAGAGUCAGCUGAUACCUGAGUCUGGGUAUCAUCUGCAUAUAAAAUAAUAUAAUCAACGAUAUGCAGGACAGAAGACCAAAUUUCUGAUUUACAAUGCCUGCGAACCACUAAACCAAAUAAGUAUGGGUAUGAAGUUCAAUAAAUAAAAGCAAAGUAAAAACUUAAAAAAUGGAACUAUAUCAAGUAGGAUUUUUUCACUGACAGUAAAAGCUCAACCAAACGAGGGAAAAGACCAGCAUCGAUUACAGCUUGUUUUAUAUCCGUUUUCCCAAAAGUUAGACAGAAUAGUGCCUCGCAUGCAUGCCAAAGGACUGCUCCAUCGUUUUCAAGAAUCAGAUGAGCAAGAGGACGGAUGGCAGAUUUCACCUGCUCAGUAAUAUCCUGAAGGAAUUGAUUAAAUAUAUAAAGGUCCAGCAUUAUUGAUAUGCAUCAAAACCGAACAGAAAACCAAUAAGAAGACAAACCUGCUCGAACGGAGGCUUUCUAAUUAAAAGAAUUGACAAUGUCCUCGUUGCCACAGCCAUGAUGUAUUGUUUUGUUUUAUCAUUAAAUUGUGCCAAUAAGGGCGUUAACACUCCAGAACUAAGGACGAGGUGACGAUAUUUUGCUGAUUCAGAGGCAAUCUUUCCCAACACCUCAAUUGCCUAAAUUAAAUAGUCAGGCAAUUCAAAGUUCGUAUUAGUCUUUAUCAAUUUGUAUAAAGUUGGACUAACAUAUCCCUAACAUAGGGAUGCUAUUAUGUCAUUUACUGUUAAAAGGUAUUGCCCCUACACGACUGAAGAAAACGUAGAAGCAGAGCCAUGGAACAUUGUCAUUUUUGCACUAGUUAAAAGACAGUUUUUCAUCCCAAAUCUGCAACUUGACACAUGGGUGUUGGCCGUCACUGUUUCAGCUCUAGUUUUUUUUUUAAUAGGUAAUCAGAGCUGUUUCAGCUCUAGUUGGGAAGGUUAGGUUUUAAUCAAUUUAUAUAAAUAUGCAUUCCUCUAGUUUUCUCAACUUUAGAUUUAGAGUGCUUUUUCCUUUUUGUUUUAGGUAUUUUUCUUGAGCUAAUACGUAAUAGCAUCAAUCCAUAGAGAGAUUUAGAGAUGAGAGGUGGAGUUUUCCACAGGGCGUAUCUCCUCUGUGUCAUCAACUUGUAAACCGUAGCGAUAGUACUCCUAGUGCAGAUGGAGUUCAUCUUCCAGCGUUAUGUCAACACGUUGAAUAAUGCUAUGUGUUGAAUGGUGUUUAUCAACGGUCUACAUGACCCAUUUAAUUGAACUUAUAAUUUAAUGUUACCUAUAGAUUCAUUGAUGAUCGUAAAUGGUGAUACAUAGCAUAUUGGUCUUUAUUCUUUCUUGGUGUUGGUGUGUGUUUUAUAUGAUUCUUGAUUUGAUUGUAAUCCUUAAAAUAUUUGCAACGUGAUAAGGUGUUUAUAUGCACUUAUUCGUGAUAUUUAAACUUGAUAAAUAAUUUAUAUUUGAGUGAAUUCUUACAUAAUUUACUUUAGAUAUGAUAAUUGUAGGUAAAAACCAAUUAGAAAGCAUUCAUACAAAAAGGAAGGUUAAAUUAGGUGUUUAUAUGCACUUAUCCGUGAUAUUUAAACUUGAUAAAUAAUUUAUAUUUGAGUGAAUUCUUACAUAAUUUACUUUAGAUAUGAUAAUUGUCGGUAAAAACCAAUUAGAAAGCAUUCAUACAAAAAGGAAGGUUUUUAGCUAAUUUAUAGUUGAUUUGGAGCAACUGAAGAUAACCAGAUUGCACGAGGAUCAAUAAUGAGUAUUAAGAGAGAAACAGGAGGAAUGUCGCAGGUUUCUAAAGUGAAAUUCAACUUAGAUGAAUUUAGGAGACUAAUUUGCACACUUUUGGAACUUAAGAAAGACUACUUAUGGAAGAUAGUUGAGGUUUGGGAAACAAUCUGGAAGCUUUUGAAAAGUGUGAGAUCAAAUAUUGAUGAAUUGGAGCAAAGAGGAUCAAUAUCGAACAAAAAUGUUGAAAUAGAGACCAAAGUGCAACAUACGAAAGUUAAGGGACUAAUUUGGACAUGUUAAAUAGUAAAAGGACCAAAGUUGAUGAGAUAAAAAGCUGGAGGAUCAAAAUGAAUAAAGCUAAAAGUUCAAAAACUUGGUUUACAAUUUAAUGUUGAAAAGUGAAAAAUAAUAAUAAAAGCUUAAAAGAAAAAAUAGAAAGAAAGAAAUGGUUACAUUGUUGUUAGAACCAGUUAGAUUGGACAAAGUUUUUGUUGUUUCUACUUUUCUUGAUCCGUUUUGAGUCAUUUAGAGGCACAAUUCUAGAAGCAUUUUUACCACUAGAUAAGAACCUCAUUUUUUCUCAAAAUGAAGGGGAAACAAAGUUCCAAAAGCCAAAAAUUAGAGAAAAAGGAGAAAAAUUAAAGGCAAAAAAAUAGGUUUUUCAAGAUUUGACGUUGAAGAAGACGAUUCUUGGUGACAGGUCUUCAAAAUUUUCUCAUUUUUUCUUUUAACUCGAUCAUGUAUUAUAUUUCUUUCUUGUAUGUCUCUUCUUCCAUGACGUGUAACUAAAUUAAUACUUACAAUAAAUGUUGUAACCUAAUUUGAAUCUUAAUUUUAGUUAUCGCGUGUUGAUUUUUAAUUGAUACUUGUGUAUUGUUCUUAUUUCCUUUUUUAUGACUUUGAAUCAUGUUGAUCACGGACUCAAUGAUUUGUGAAAAGCAAAGAAUCGAAAGACGGGUUAUUUUUUUUUAUCAUGUAGUAAAAUUCAAAAUUUAGUAGGAAAGACACUUUUACUAACUAUGUAUUAUUAAUUAAAUUUUUUUUGUGAUUGAUUGCUUUUGAUUAAAGCAUAUCAAGAAUCACGUAGGGACAUGUGUACUUAAUUCAGUAGAAUUGAUUUGAACUAUAAAGGAGUAAAUCAAUUAAUUUUAGAAGAAUUUGAUAUGUAAGCAUAAUUAACUAUUGUCGGGAUUUGGUAAUUAAUAUUAAAGAGAUAAUAAUGGUGAACUCAUGAAUCCUUCACACAUCAAGUAUAACUGUGAAUAGUCUAUUUGUGACAUUCUUCAUUAUUUUAAUCAAGAGGUCAUUGAGAGAAAAUUCUUAAGGCCACUUUACUACCUAUUUUAUUGGCAUCUUACAUUUGCGAUAAAAUCACAAAAUAACACUUACCCUUUCGCGAAGUUCAUCCUUGGGAGAACUAAGAAAGUUCACCAUAAUGGGAAUUGUGCCCUGUUCAAUCAGAAUGUUGAUGUUGUCAACUGGACCAAUUGAAAUUUUUUCCAUAGUCUCCGCUGCCUCAAGCUAAGAAAAUGAAUGACUCAAUUUAUUUAGCAGUUGAAACACAUGAAAUAAACAAGAGAAGCAAUUAAAAGCACAAAUUUAAACCUGAAGCUGCGGGUGAUCAUCUCUAUCAAGGAACUCGAGGAGUCGAGGAACAAAUCGAGAUAUUAAUCCCUUCGAUGGUGGUUUUAUCUCUGUGGAAACAAAUUAAUUGAAAGCAAAUGGAAUCAGAGAUAUAAGAGAAAAUAGCUUAAACAGUAAUAAGAUUUAUUCAAAUUAAUUGGCUUCAAGAAAAAUAAAUUAAUUGAUUACCAAUAAUAAGCCAUCUUAGCUGAGAACAGGCGCUGAUUUGCAGUUCGUCGUCAUUUGACUCAAGUUUAGCUAUUAAUUCGGCCUCCAAUUCCUUGUUCUGUUGCAAUUAGAAGAAAUUAAUAAUGAAGUUUACAUAACAGUUUCUAUAUACUAGUUCUACUCAAUUAAAUUUGUCCCACAUAAUUACUUGCAAGAACUAUUUCAUUAUGCAAAAAAGACGCAUUUUUCUUUCAAAAUUGGUUUCCAAGAGAGGAUUUGUGUCUUGUUUUUAUACUUCUGUAACUAAAAUGUGGUGAAAUUAUCAUAUAUAAGCUGCAGUGCAAGUCAUGCUUGCUGAAGCCAGCAGUUGAUGAUUUAUGAGGUCACAGCGGAGGCAUCAACUUUAUGUCCAAGGGUGAUGGAGCAUGCUAGGGAACCUUUUGGAUAUAUUUAUGGAGAAUGUGAAAAAGAUACGGACUUCUCGAAUUUUGGUAUGAUAAUAAAUUUAGAAAAACCCAGAAUGAAAGUGACAAUGAGCAGUACAAACACUAUCCCUCAUGUAAAAUGAUCAGAAGUAUGAAAAGAGUACAUGAAGUAUAGUCUUUAGCUUAAGACGAGUUUAUUUAUUUUUUUCUUUUUCCCUUUAAUUGAGGUCCGGCCAAGGGCCCUUAAUUUUGUGUUUUUUUUCCUUUAUUAGUAAGACAAUUCUAGAGUGGUUUUGAAAAAAACAGAGAGAAAAGAUGCUCAUGCUUGCUAAAAUUUUGUUAUGAAGAUCUAUAAAUAUUCUUGAGAUAGAGAAAUGAUCAGAUACGAGCAACAAUAAGUAUGGCUCAAGGAAUCGCUUUUACCUCUGGAAGGUUGAACUGCCUCUUGACACGGACUUGAAUAUCAUUUCCGAAAUUCUCUUGUUCUUCUUGUAUCAGCUCUGCCGAAAUCACAGCUGAAGGGCUAGCAUCAUCCAAGUCAAUGAUUUGAAGAGUUUGUAUAUCUUUAAAGCUAGGAGGGAUCUCCAUUAGUUUGGAACAUCCCCUAAGCUUUAGGCACUCGAGGCAUGUGAAGUUGGUGUUAUUGGCUCUCCAAUGCUCUAGAAACUUAGUUUCAAGUAACAGAAAUUUUAGCUUGCAAAAUUCUCCUUCGGGUAGCUCCCAUUCUGGACUCCAAGUGACACUAUCUAGCAGUUUGAGCACUUCCAGGUUGGGCAUUGAACCAACAAUAGUCAUGUGUUUCCAAGCAAUUUUGCAACUUUCUAAAGUUAACUUUUUGAUAUUUGCUGGGAAAGUGAAAUUUAUUGGUGCUCUAAAACGUUCUAAACCUCUAAUGUUCAGGUUUUCAAGUUGAGGAAGAUUAACCAGAAUACCUAAAGGAUUCUCAUCGAAAUAGCCACUAUAAAGUCCUAACUUUUUUAGAUUUGGAACUCUUUCAAAGACCUCCUUGGUACAGCUAGGACUACUCACUUUCGAAAGUGUUAAAAGGUUUCCUAGAACAAAAUUCUCCCCAGCUAUUGGUGAUCUAGUAGGGCAUGGCAAAUAACACUUCCUGAACAGGAGAUGCCUUAAUUGUGUCAUCCUCCAUAUUUCCUCUGGUAGAUGUACAUCGUCACUAUCUACAAUUAAGGUCUGUAGAUACCCAAGAAAAUCAGGUAAUGUUUUAGGCAUGGAAACUUUCCCAUGACAGGGGAAAGCAAGGUACCUUGAGUGAACUAAUUUUAUUUCUCCAAAUGGGAAACCCUGUACUUGUUGUUUAAGAUCCAACACCCUAAGAAGUGGAAAAAGUUUUCCAUUAACUAAUUCAGUGAUCUGGCUUUUGUCUAGGUCUACAGGGAAUAUGAGGUCGCCUUCAGAAAAUGAAAUUAAAAUAGAACGGACUGAUGGCAAGGAUCCCAUGGACUGGUAAUAUUUGAAUUCCCCGUGAAGAAUAUCUGGACGAACACACAGGCGACGAGAAUACUUUAUGCUUUCAGCAAAAAUGUUGUCUUUAUCUCUGACAUGAAAAAGCUUCUCAUCCUGGGCCUUCUUUAAGCAUAGGUCCCUUAACAUAUCAUGGAUGCCACAGGUUUUUAUCUUUCCCCUAGAACUCUUCUUACUAAUCAUAAUAAGAUUUCUGGAAAUUAGAUCUCCCAAAUAUUCCACUGCCACUUCUUCCAAGGUUUUACCUGUGACUGGUUUUAGAAAUCCCUCUGCAACCCAUAACUUGAUGAGUUUGGAGACACGGAUUUCAUCAUCUUCCGGAAAAACUCCCAUAUAGAGAAAGCAUGCUUUGAGAUAAUGAGGCAAGUAAUUGUAACUUAAAGAUAGUAUUUCUGUGCAGUUUGCAUCUGUUGAAUUGACAACUGACUUGACAUUUUGUGCAACAUACUCCCAGUGAUCUUUUGUCCUGUUGGCGUUUGAAAGGUGGCCACCAAUCACGACAAGGGAAAGUGGAAGUCCUUUGCAAUUUUCUGCAAUCUCCUUUCCAGCUUCCUCCAGUUCUGGAGGGCAACAAUCUUCCCCAAACACCCUCUGACGAAGUAGUUUCCAACUGUCAGUCUUAUUUAGAAAUUGCAUAUGAUGGGCAGGUCUAUGGGAGUCAACCACACUCAAGAGCCGUGUUGUCAACACGAUCCCGCUUCCAUUCCGGUCGUCUGGAAAUAUCCUUCUCAAGGAACUCCAAGCCUCGGUAGUCCAAAUAUCAUCCAACACAACAAGAUACAUCAUACCUCUUAAACUUUUAUGUAGGUAAUCUUUUAAUUUUGCAGUAUUGUUCUCUUGACGCAUUUCGGCACUGAGCUGUUUCAUGGAAUCCAGAAGGUUCAGCAAGACUUCUCGCUCACGAUAUUCUUGAGAAAUUGAUACCCAGGCACAAAUGUGAAAAUGGUCUUUAAUACGUGGAUCAUUGUAAACAUUUCUAGCAAGUGUGGUCUUGCCAAUACCUCCCAUGCCAGUUACGGGGAUGACUUGGAGAGUACCUUGAUGUCCAGUGAGUCGAUCAAUUAUUUGAUUCAAAUCAUUAUGAAACCCGACCAUAUCAUUCUUGCCAAUUGAAGGAAGUCUUGAUUGUCCAGUUGGCAAAGAAGUACUCCUCUGGCUCUGGUGCACAACUGUUGCGCCCCACGAUUCCUUAAGCUUAGCUGCCUUUGUCUCAAUGGAAUCAAUUUCAUCUGCUACUAUCUCAAAGUCCACACAAAAAUUUUGGUCUCUCAUUUGUCUUUCUUGAAAACCUUCCUGGCCAAAAUUCUUGGAUAUAUGUGAUUCGACCAUAUCUUCAGCUUUGUUCACUGCAUCUCGAAUUUCCCUUUCCAAACAUCGUACUUCCUCGCUCCUUAUCUGCCAAGAAUCAUCCAGAAAAUCAAGUAAGAAACUCAACUUCUCCUGGAGAGAUUUAAUUUGUUGGUCCUGAAGAGGAGUUUGAUGUUGUUCUAGAGGAGGAUUUGAUAUUUGCUCCAGAUUUUGAUUGAGAGAUAAUACAGCAUUGUAUGCCAUCUUUGACUUCAAAGAAUCUGAUUGAAAGAUAAUAUCCCAAAAUUGCAGCCUGCCUUAACAAGUGGUGGUUUUGGGAGGUGGAGGAAUUGAGUGGAGUGAAGGGGUGAAGAAGACAACAAUUACAGAGAGAAAAAGGAAUGGAUGUUCGUGUGAGUUUACGCGCAUCUUUUUUUUUUUUUUUUUUUUUUUUUUUUUUUUUUUUUUUUUCCUUUUUUUUUUUUUUUUUUUUGUUUUUUUUUGUCUUUUUUUCUACCUUUUUUUUUUUUUCUUUUUUCUUAUUUUAAUCUUUUUUUUUUUUAAUGGGAAAUUGGUGUGUUUUGUUCCCAACUUUUUAAGAAUUUUAUCUUUAUUUUGUUAAAUUUCCAAGAAAAUACAUUAACGUGUAUCCAAAGCAUCUUGAAGUUGCGUGGUUCUUGAUUCAACUGAAAAUUAAACAACAAAUUAUCAUAGGGGAAAAUUGCAACUUAAGUCGAGAUCCUAUACACUUGAUAGCAAACAGGUCCUCAUUCUAUUUCUUUUGGCAUUCAUAUCCUUAACACGCCGUUCUGAUGCACCGCAGUUCUUGAUUGAAGAAAUCCAUUAAUUAAUUAACAAUUAAUUUUCGUAAUACCUCCUAUCCUUUGGUAUCCCUGUGAAAUUGGUAUCUAUUGCUACAAUCCUCAUAUUCUUAAAGGCAUUUCAACAUUUGAUUGCAAAAAUCACUAUUUUCAUUCGCGUUUAUUUGACAAUUAGAAGGUUAAUAUUUUGAUACAAAAAAAAAAACUGCAAUACUUCUAAUUUUACUUUAAAACUAAGAAAGGAAAAUAAUUAUUAUUUGUUUUUGUUUUGGUACUAGUUUUUUUAUAUUUAAAAUUAACGAUCAAAAUAUUGACUAUUUAAACUAUAGUAGACGGAAAAGUGAUCUCACUAGUGGCAAAAGGUUGAAAUAUUGUUAAGAAUGUCAAGAUUGAUAUGAUAAGUAGCAAUCCAACAAGUACCCAAAUGAUAGGGGGUAAUGUGCAAAAUAGCUUUUAUUAACAUAUUCAAAAGUAAACCUUUUUUUUUUUUUUUUUUUAACAAAAAAAAAANNNNNNNNNNNNNNNNNNNNNNNNNNNNNNNNNNNNNNNNNNNNNNNNNNNNNNNNNNNNNNNNNNNNNNNNNNNNNNNNNNNNNNNNNNNNNNNNNNNNNNNNNNNNNNNNNNNNNNNNNNNNNNNNNNNNNNNNNNNNNNNNNNNNNNNNNNNNNNNNNNNNNNNNNNNNNNNNNNNNNNNNNNNNNNNNNNNNNNNNNNNNNNNNAUAAAUGUUGUUACGAGUUUUAACUUUAAUUUUUAAGAAAGUUAUUUUUAUUAAUAUUUUUAUUUAAUUCACAUCAAGACACACUUCAAGAUAAUAAUUCAAAAAAAGAUUGGAAAAUGGGAAAUAAUCACUUUUUUUUGACAAAGACUCAUUCAUUUCAACUCAAGACAUCAACUUGAGAAAGAAAAUACUUUCAAGAACAAUAUAAAAUACAAGAUGUAUCAAUUCAAUAAAUUGUCCAAAGAGAGAAAGAGAAACUAUAUACUCUUGUAGAAUUUUUCAAUGUUGAAUUUAUCUGUUCAGUAUUUCAACAGUUGUUUUUGAAGCACGUAAAUUAUUGUAAGUUUUGUUAUGUGAUAAUUAUGCUGUCAUUUGUUAAGCUUUCAAGAACAUACAGCAGCGUGCAUUUGAAAAAACUUGGGAGUUGCCUGGUUCUUAAUUCAAAUGGGAAAAGUUAUUGUGUCAAAUCGAACCAAAUUAUUAUAAGGGGAAAUUGCAGCGUUAUUACAGAUUCUAUUUCUUUUAGCGAUAACAUUCUCAAUGUACCAUUUUUGAUGUGCCAUAGUUCUUCUUUUACAAAAAGAAGAAUUCCCCCAUUCUUUGAGCUUGUUUGGGAGUGAUUUUGAGAAUUGAUUUUUUGACCGUUAAGAGAAAAGUGGGGUCCACCUGUGAGAGAAGAAGUCAAAUAUGACAGUUGAAAUAGUGAAAUAACGGUCAAAAAAUUAAUUUUUUGGGCGAAAAAUCGGGCCCAAACAAGCUCUUUAACAUAAAAAAAUAAAAAAUAAAAAAUAAAAGUAUAGAAAAUAUCAAGGCCACACCCCGCCACCAUUAGUUGUCGUUGAAUUUAGUUAAAGGACUCAAAGGCCGCGGGCAAAAAUUUAGCUUUUGAAUUUCGCUUUUUCUUUAAAUUUUACUAAAGAAUUUAAAAUUGAGGUUUGUGAAAUCUCCAUCAAGUCAUUAGAAUGGAAUUUAAUGAGUUUAUCACCCAUUUUGCUGAAUUAUUCAAUAUUGCAUAUAUAUAAAUUUGUCUUUAACAAAGGAUGGAUGCAGUUUUAGAGAAAUGCUCUUACAAGCUUAACUUUAAUUUUUAAGUAAGUUAUUUUUAUUAGUACUUUAAUUUAAUUCACGACAAGACACCACUUCAAGAUGACUUCUUCUUUUUUUUUGGGACAAAGAAUCGUUGAUUUCAACGCGACAUAAAUUUGAAAAAGAAAGUACUUCAAGAACUAUAUACUCUUGUUUUUCAAGCACGUAUAUUAUUGUAAGCUUUGUUAUGUUAUGUUUGUUAAGUUUUCAAGAAAAUACAUCAACGUGUAUUAUAAAAAAAACUUGGAAGUUGCUUGGUUCUUACUUCAUAUGAGAAAAGGUAUUGUUUCAAAUUGAACAAACAAAUUAUCAUGGGGAAAUUUGCAACGUUAGUCCAAAACUUAUACACUUGGUAGGAAAUAGGUCUCGAUUCUAUUUCUUUUAGAGUUCACAUCCUCAAUACCAUUUCUAAUGUGCCAUAGUUUUUAAUUGACGAAAUCCAUUUAAUAAACACUUGUUACAACAUUGAAGAAUAACGUAUCACUCUAAUAUUACUUGCUAGCAAAUUGAGUACAAGAUUAUAUGGCACAAAAUGAAGUAAAAAUCACAUCACAAGAAGAACACAAAACAUCAAAUGUGGAAAAACUCAACGGGCAGAAAAGGAGAAUUUUAUUAAUAACAAGAGAAAAUACAAUGUGUAGUGUUUUCCAAAUUGUAUUCUAACUCAUACAAGGCUAGGACCUAAAAAAAGAAUAUGUUUUAGAUGGAAAGAAGACCAAAAAUCGCGUCGAAAGUAGGAAAUAAUUUUUUACCGAAUAAAUAGGUUGCUCGAGUUGAAGUCGAGCAAUGAUUUAGUGCCUAGUUUGGUGCUCAAGCCCUAAAUCUAUGUCCAAAAUCAAAUUUUCGACUCUUAACUCCUUUUUCAACCAAAAACACCAAUAUCAAUCAAAUUUGAUCACGUAUUAACAACAGUUAAUUUUCACCCCUACCAUUUGGGGUCCCUAUGAAAUUGGUAACAAAUGUUACAAUCAUGAUAUUCUUAAAAUCAUUACAAUCAUGAUAUUCUUAACAUAUUAACUUUUUCACAAAAGGAAGAAUUGUCCCAUUCUUUAACAUAAAAAAUGUAUAGGAAAUAUAAAGGCCACAUCCCACCACCAUUAGUUGUUGUUGAAUUUAGUUAAAGGGUUCGAAGGCCACCAACCAAAACUUUAGCUUUUGGAUUUUGCUUUUCCCUUACAUUUUACUAAAGAAACUCAAAUUGAUGUUUUUAAAAUCUACAUCCUGUCAUUAGAAUAGAAUUUAAUGAAUUUAUCACCCAUUUUGCCGAAUUAUUCAAUAUUACAUAUAUAUAAAUUCGUCUUUUAACAAUAGAGGGGUGCAGUAUUUGAAAAAUGUUGUGACGAGCUUAAUUUUAAUUUUUAAGAAAGUAAUUUUUAUUAUUUUUUUAUUUAAUUCGUAUCAGACACUACUUCAAUAUAAUAAUUCAGAAAAAAGUUUGGAAAAAGAGAAAUAAUGACUUUUUUGACAAAGACUCGUUGAUUUCAACUCAAGACAUCAAAUUAAGAAAGAAAAUACUUUCAAAAACAAUAUAAAAUACAAGAUGUAUCAAUUUGAUAGAUUGUGCAAAGAGAGUAAGAGAAAUUAUACACUCUUGUAGAAUUUUUCAAUAUUGAAUUUAUUUGUUCAGUGUCUAAUUUAACAAAUUUUUUUUAGCACGUAAAUUAUUGUAAGCUUUUUUGUGUUAUAAUUAUGCUGUAAUUUAUUAGGCUUUCAAGAACAUACAGCAACGUGAAUUAGCCACUUUAUUUUUUUUAUUUUUUAUUUUUAACAAAAAGAAGAAUUACCCCAUUCUUUAACAUAGAAAUUGUAUAGAAAAUAUCAAGGCCACAGUCUACCGCCAUUAGUUGUCUUGAAUUUAGUUAAAGGAUUCAAAGACCACCGGGCAAAAAUUUUGGGGGCGGUUGGUUUGUCGUUUUUGGGCCAUUUUCCGUUUUUCAUUUUCGAAAACGCAAAAAACGCGUUUGUUCCGUCGUUUUCGAAAACGCAUUUUCGAAAAAGUGUUAAAAUUUAUAACUAAAAAUGCAAAACGAAUUUUUAUCAUUUUGAACGUUUUCAGUUAUAAAUGCCCAAAACGCGAAAAACGCCCAAAACGUGGCGUUUUCGAGGAAAACUAAAAAUCGUUUUGAAAUCGAAAAUGAAAAAUGAAAACGCAAACCAACCGCCUUCUUUAGCUUUUGAAUUUUGCAUUUUCUUUAAAUUUUACUAAAGAAUUAAAAAUUGAUUUUUGUAAAAUCUGCAUCCUGUCAUUAGAAUGGAAUUUAAUGAAUUUAUCAACCAUUUUGCUGAAUUAUUCAAUAUUCUAAAUAUAUAAAUUUGUCUUUAACAAAGGAAUGGGGAAGUCUUCAAUUUUUGGGGGAGAAAUCCUUUGAUUGCGUAGGGUGAGUUAUGAGAAGAGAGAAAAAGAGAAAGAAGAAUGAAAGUUAAUAAUUUUUUUGUGUAUUUUAUUAAGAACUAAAGUCCUAUAUUUAUAGGUAAGAAUUAGGGAUACAAUGGUAAUAAUUUUUAGAACUGUAGGGGUAAAAUUGUUAUUCACUACUAAACCCUAAUAAACUUGUCAUUUACAACACUUCCUCUUGAAUGACACUACAAAAUAUCUGUCUCGUUAAAACCUUGUUUGAUAAAAAUUCAAUUGGACAAAAAAAUCAAACUAAGGAAAAGAGUACAGUUAUUUUGGAAUAUUAAAAAUAAAUGUUAUCUCAUUAAAACCUUGCUAGGAAAAGGAUGUGAGAUAACAGCUAAGCGAAGGAAAAAGAGUAUAGCUACUUCCACUGAUGUUGAUUAUUGAAAAUCUUUUGAAUUGACGCAUUCCAAUCUUGUGAACCAAUUUCUUGAAUAUAGAUGUCAGCAGUGCUUUUGUGAAUAAAUCGGCCACAUUGUUACUUGAGCGAAUUUAUUAGAUAUCGAUGUCACGAUUCUUUUGAAACUCAUGUGUAUGAAAGAAUUUUGAAGAAAUAUGUUUUAUCUUAUCACCAUUGAUAUAACCUCCUUUGAGUUAUACAAUACAUGAUGUAUUGUCUUCAUAUAAAUUUGUUGGACUAUCUUUGAUUGAAAUUAACCCUCUUGAUACUUAGAUAUGAUGAGAUGUGUUUCUCAACCAUAUACAUUAUCGGCCUGCUUCAUGGAUUGCAAAAUUUUAGAAUGAUUUGAGGAUGUUGCUGUCAAUAAUUGAUUUACAUAUCUCCAUGAUAUAGCUGUUUCACCACAUGUAAAAGCAUAUUCUGUUUGUGAUUUAAUUUUAUGUGGGUCGGAGAGAUUGAUGAGAACCUGAUCAGCAAGGUUGCAAUCGAACCCACAAAAUUUUGAAUCGAACCUAGGAAAGUUCCAAACAACAAAGGUUUGUGGAAUUUGACUCAAAAUAAUGGAUUAAACAACCCACACAGCCAAUAUGACAUGUAGACUUUUUAAUCACAAAAUUAAUAAAUCAAAAAUCCGAAUAAGUUAAAGAUCAAUUUGAAAAUUAAAUGAAUCAAGAAAUCUAGGCAAUUACAUGAAUACAUUGACCCCGUGAUUACACAAUUUAAGAAUCUCACUUUGAUUGGUAAACACCACGAAAAAUCAUCCCGAUAAGUUCGAUAAAUUUUUCAUGAAAAACAAACAAGAAAACAAACUUGCCUCUCAAUUUCAAUAUGCGAAAAGUCUUCUUCCAAUGAAUAAUAAAACUCCUAUUUAUGCUAAAGAAUAUAAUACCUAAUUUAAAAAGGAAUAAACUCCUAAAAUAUUGUAAAACACAAAAUUAGAGUCCUAAUAAUAUUAAAUUUACCAAAAAUAAGAAAUUGACUCAAAACAAAUCUUUUCGCGCGGAAAGGAAAUUUUCUAGCCGAAAAACCCAUAUGCGAUCGCGACAUGUAUUUGGCUGCGGUCACAUGGCAUAUGGACUACUGCCUGUGAAAUCCCUGCACCUUCUCAUGUGGCCGCACGGUGGUUUUAACCAUGCGGUCGCAUGGUUACUUGGUUUUUGCUCCAAACUCGAUUUUCUUCCAACAUCUUGAUUCAAUUAGUUUUCGGCCUUCAACCUCAAUACAAAUCCUGGACUUUGGCUCGUUGACUCCACCAUAUCGAAAUCCAUAACUCGACCAUGCAUUUAUACUGGUUUGUUAGCCCGAACGAAGCUUGAAUCUUGUCCUUAGCUGCCCUCCAACGUACAUCAAAUCCUUGGUCGUUUGGCGCCCAAGCCAAGUCACAUCAGAGAUAACCUGCAUCUAUAUAUCCCAGUAAAGCAGAUCCCGACAUUUGAGAAUAAAAUAAUCCCAAAUCUAUAGUGCCCUUUAGGUAAUGAAAAAUAUAUUUAAUACCAUUCUAAUGCCUUUGAGUUGGUGUAGAACUAUAUCUUCAUGAAGAUUUACAGAAAAAGUUAUGUCAGGUCGAGUACAAUUUGCAAUAUAAGUUAAUACUCCAAUUGCACUAAGAUAUGCUACUUCAGGACCAAGAAUUUUUCUCCAUCUUCAAGAAGACAAAAUGGAUCUUUUUUCACAUCAAGUGAUCAAACAACAAUAUGUGAUGCCAAUGGAAGUGCAUUAUCCAUAUAAAAGCGCUUUAAGACUAGUUCUGUAUAAGUAGAUGAUGAAUAAAAAAUGCUUUUGGGAAAUGUCCGAGACAAAAAUUGGUUUUUCGCUAAUUUUUCAUUUCAAAUUCAUUUUUCAAAUAAUCAGCAGUUUGUUGAGCUCUUCAAGAGUUCCAAUUAAAUUUAAAUCAACAUAAACGGUCACAUAUACAAAUAUAAUAUUUGUUUUUUUUAUGAAAACACAUGGGGCAGACAUCGUUAUUUGUAUAACUCUCUUUCAACAAAUAUUUUCUAAGACGAUUAUAUUAGACGUGUUCAGAUUUUUUCAUUCCAUAUAAUAAUCUUUACAAUUUAAUUGAUAACAUGGUUUUCGGACAUGUAUCAUUUGUUCCUAACACUUUAAGUCCUUCGGGGACUUUUAUAUAUAUGUCACUAUCAAGUGAAUCAUACAAAUAGGCAGUUCCAACAUCCACAAGACGCAUAUCAAGUCUUUGUGACACGGUCAAACUAAUUCAUAAUCUAAAAGUUAUGAUGUCCAUUACGAGAGAGUAUGUUUCUUCAUAAUCAAUUUUCGAUCUUUGUGAGAAACAUUGAGCUACAAAUCAGGCUUUGUAUAUUGUAACUUAAUUAUUUUCUUUUCUCUUUCGUACAAAAAUCCAUUUAUAUCUUACAGUGAUUACAUUUCAGGUGUUCGAGCUACAAGUCCAAACUUUUUUUUUUCAUUUUUCUAAGGAAUUUAAUUUCACUUGUAUGACUUCUUUCUAUUCUGGCCAAUCAUUUCUAUUUUAACAGUCUUUAACUGAUUGUGGUUCGGGAUCCUCAUUUUACAUAAUAUUAAGAGUCAUGUUAAAUGUGAAAAUAUCAUUUAUAACAAUAUUAUUCCAUUCCCAUAAUUUAUGAGAUAAUAUAUAAUUUACUGAAAUCUCAUUAUUUUCGGACAUUUGUAGUUAUUCAGGAACCAUAUUUUCAAUAUUUGAUUGAUUAAUCUUUUAUAAUGUUACUUCUUCCAAAGUUUUUCAUUGGUUAUUUUCUUGUACUUUUCUUUUUCAAGGUACAGAAUUUUUCGAACAAACUGGUCGAUCACACUUCUGACGUAUUGAGAUUCAUUUGUUAUAGCAAAUUGUCCUUCAGGGAUAUCAAUAUUUGCUGGAGUAUUUUCUAUUGGAAUAUAUGAAUUGUCAUUUUCUAGUGUUAAGAAAAACAUUAGGUAAUUGAUUUGCAACCUUCUGGAAAUGAAUGAUUUGUUCAACAUUUUGCUCACAUUAAUUGCUAAGAGAAUUAAAAUGAGAUAAAGUUAUUUCAUUCCAAGAACUUUUACCUUAUUCUUCAGGAUGCAGUUUUUAUCUUCCAAAGUUAGGAAAGUCAUUUUAUUAAAAUGACAAUUUGCAAAACGUAUUAUAAAUAAAUCACUUGCUAAAGGUUCAAGAUACAUAAUAAUAGAUGGUCAAUCAAAACCCACAUAAAUCUUAGUCUUUAUUGGGGGCCCGUUUUAGUACGUUAUAUGGUGCAAUGGAGAUUUGGACAAUACAACCAAAAAUUCUUAGGUGAGAAAUAUCAAGUUCAUGAUCAAAUGCAGUUGGUCUAAUACAAACCAAUAAUGCAACAUGUAAUAUGGUAUGUCCCAAACAAAAGAUAAGAAUUUUGUUUACAUAAGUACUUAUCUAACAAUAAGCUGUAGAUAUUUAAUAAAUGACUCCGCUAAACCAUUUUAUAUAUGGACAUGUGCAACCAAAUAUUCAAUUACAAUCCCAAUUGACAUAAAAUAAUUAUCAAAUGCUUGUGAUCUAAAUUCACAAACAUUGUCAAGACGAAUAGUCUUGAUUGAGUAAUAGGGAAUUGUGCUCAUAAUUUUAUGAUUUGAGUAAAUAGUCUAGAUAAGGAUACAUUCCUAGUAGAAGCAGGCAAACAUGUGAUCAUCUAAUGAAAGAAUCAAUUAAUAUCAUAAAAUAACGAAAUGGUUCACAUGGUGUGUUUAUUGUCCUACAUAUAUCUCCAUAAAUUCUUUCCAAGAAAAAUGGAGAUUCAAUACAUGACCUUCGUAGUUGAAGGUCUAAUGACUAAUUUACCUUGUGAAUAAGUUACACAUGGAUAAUCAAAAUAUAAAAGAAUCUUCUAGUUCUUUAAAAGAUGUCUAUGUGAGUCGAUUAUUAUUCAAUGCAUCAUGCCAACAUAUAAACGUUUUGGGCCAACGAACUUUUGGUUCGUGACAUUAUUUGAUUUAACUAUUUUUAUAAAUGUAUAAUACAUAUCAGAUUUAAGUGCAUGAAGUUUUUCUUUUAUUUGCAUUUUGCUAGAUACAAAAGAAAUUAUGUAAAGAUAUUUAACAUUAUUUUCUUGCAUCAUUUCAAUAUGAUAUCCGUUACAGCAGAUAUUUUUAAAACUAAGCCUAGAAUAAAGCAUAUUGUCAAUAUAUAAUUUUGUAUUUUUUGGUAAAAUAGUACAAGCUCUUCCAGGGCCUUUGACGUUAUUCGAUGCACCUGAUAUCGUAUUAACAUUACUUUCUGCUAAUGUUAAACCAAAAAAAAUAUAUUUUGUCUUGAAAAAUGGUAUGUGUAAUUAUACUUUCAAUCAAGCAGGUAUCUUGACAAAUCCAUCAUGAAUCUAUCAAUAUAAUAAAGUAAAUAUAUUUAAAAGGCUUGAAUUUAAAUUUAAAAAGGUAAAAUUAAUUCAAUGCUGUGAAAUUAACGAAGCAUAAUAAAGUUUCAAUUUUUUUUCGAAAAGUACAAAUAUAUUUUAAACUGAAUUUCUAAGAUAAAAGAAAAUACUGGAGAUAUAUAAAAAAUAAGCUAAUCUAUAUAUUCUAUCACACCACUCUUAAUUAAAUAGUCAAUAUUCCCAUUGGAUCAGCAAAGAAAUUGGAGACAUUUAGCUGAGUCACAUUAAUUGGGCUAUCAUAAUCAGAAAAAUUUGUCCCUAAAUUUCCCUUUCCCUUGAUUGAAUUUUGGUAAAGAUCCACAAAAUGUUUUGCCGUACGAUAGGUACAUGCCCUAUGCCUUUUCAUCCCCCAUUUAAAGCAACUUUCUUUAUACUCCUUUUUGGAUAUGCUACUUUCAUUUGCUUUGUAUCUUUUGAAAUUGUUAAACAGAUAAUUUUGUUGAUUAUUUCGUCCAUGGUUUAUUUCAUGUGCACAUUUGCCUCUACAUCCAAAUUCGUAUCCACGUCCACGUCCUUAUUUUGAUAUUGCAUUUGUUUCAGGUAACGCAUUACCAUUUGCUUCAAGCAAUGGUACAGAACUAGUUGGACAUAAUUCAUGAUUUUCAUCAACAGUUCAUUAUUUUGUUCAGCAAUAAGCAGGUAGGAUAUAAGUUCUGAGUACCUUUUGAAACCAUAAUGCUGCAUGAGCACAUUCGAAACGCCAAAGAUGGAAAAAGUUUUCUCCAACAUAUCCUUAUCAGUGGUUUUUUCUCCACACAAUAUGGAUUUUAAACUUAUUCUGAACAGUUCAGAAUUGUACUUACUAACAAUUUUGAAAUUUUCCAAACGAAUGUGCAUCCAUUCAUAAUGGGUUUUGGGAAAAACUAUAGUCCUCUGAUGAUCAAAUUUUUUAAUUUUUUUCAAAAAAUCUGUGGAUAUUUCUCAAUGAGAUAUUUAAUUUUCAAUCCAUCACAAAGAUGGUGACGAAGGAAGAACGACAUUUUUACAUUAUCUUGAAGGGAUUCUUUGUUUUCAUUUUUUAUUGUCUCUCUCAAACAUUUUAUGAUAAGAUGAAUAUCAACAUCAAGUGCUCAUGAUAGAUAGUUUUUGCUAGAUAUGUCAAAUGCAACAAACUCAAAUUUUGUGAUGUAUUGUUUGUCAUUUGAUUAAUUAUACAAUAAAUAAAUAGAAAAAAUUGCAGUAGCUGUCCCAAACCUUUCACAUUUUUGCAGACUUUACCUUAAUCCUUUCAUUUUGUGUCACCUACAGUCCCAAAACUUUCAAAAAUAUGCACAGAGGAUCCAAAUGGAUGGAAACUGUCAAUUUGACAGUUAGUUGACCAAUAAAGUCAAAAUUGGAUUAGUUUUGACCAAUUUAGAAGGGGCAAAAUGGUACUUUACAUUUUUUUAAAUUAAAAUAAGUUAUUUAAUUAAAUUAAAAAACCAAAAAAUAAAUAUAUAACUAAUAUAUAAACCCCAAUCAAAAACUUUCUCCGUCCUUCUUCUCCGAUAAGAGACCACCUGAACGCAGAACUCAACGAAAUCAACAUUAAUGGCAGAGAAAUUUCAAACCCAGCAGUGUCAAAAUCAACAAACCCACAGCAGAAAUCCAUUCAAUUUCCGUUGAUUGAAAGCACAAUCCCAAUAAUGGCAGAGAAAUUUCAAACCCAGCAGUGUCGACAGCACCGCCAGGUGACCAGCUACAACAACCCAUCUCACACAAAUUGUACAGUAAAUCGCCCCGCCACCAUCAAACCAAGUUGGGAACGUAAAGGAUCUUAAUCAGCCCGGAAUCAAGUUGGACGAAACUCUAGUUGUUCACUGAUGCAGUUUUAGAGAAAUGCUCUUACAAGCUUAACUUUAAUUUUUAAGUAAGUUAUUUUUAUUAGUACUUUAAUUUAAUUCACAACAAGACACCACUUCAAGAUGACUUCUUUUUUUUUUUUUUGGGACAAAGAAUCGUUGAUUUCAACGCGACAUAAAUUUGAAAAAGAAAGUACUUUCAAGAACUAUAUACUCUUGUUUUUCAAGCACGUAUAUUAUUGUAAGCUUUGUUAUGUUAUAUUUGUUAAGUUUUCAAGAAAAUACAUCAACGUGUAUUAUAAAAAAAACUUGGAAGUUGCUUGGUUCUUACUUCAUAUGAGAAAAGGUAUUGUUUCAAAUUGAACAAACAAAUUAUCAUAGGGGAAAUUUGCAACGUUAGUCCAAAACUUAUACACUUGGUAGGAAAUAGGUCUCGAUUCUAUUUCUUUUAGAGUUCACAUCUUCAAUACCAUUUCUAAUGUGCCAUAGUUUUUAAUUGACGAAAUCCAUUUAAUAAACACUUGUUACAAAAUUGAAGAAUAACGUAUCACUCUAAUAUUACUUGUUAGCAAAUUGAGUACAAGAUUCUAUGGCACAAAAUGAAGUAAAAAUCACAUUACAAGAAGAACACAAAACAUUAAAUGUGGAAAAACUCAACGGGCAGAAAAGGAGAAUUUUAUUAAUAACAAGAGAAAAUACAAUGUGUAGUGUUUUCCAAAUUGUAUUCUAACUCAUACAAGGCGAGGACCUAAAAAAGAAUAUGUUUUAGAUGGAAAGAAGACCAAAAAUCGCAUCGAAAGUAAGGAAUAAUUUUUUUACCGAAUAAAUAGGUCGCUCGAGUUGCAGUCGAGCAAUGGUUUAGCGCCUAGUUUGGUGCUCAAGCCCUAAAUCUCUGUCCAAAAUCAAAUUUUCGACUCUUAACUCCUUUUUCAACCAAAAACACCAAUAUCAAUCAAAUUUGAUCACGUAUUAACAACAGUUAAUUUUCGCCCCUACCAUUUGGGGUCCCUAUGAAAUUGGUAACAAAGGUUACAAUCAUGAUAUUCUUAACAUAUUACAAAAAGAAGAAUUGUCCCAUUCUUUAACAUAAAAAAUGUAUAGGAAACAUGAAGGCCACAUCCCACCACCAUUAGUUGUCGUUGAAUUUAGUUAAAGGGAUCGAAGGCCACCAACCAAAACUUUAGCUUUUGGAUUUUGCUUUUCCUUUACAUUUUACUAAAGAAACUCAAAUUGAUGUUUUUAAAAUCUACAUCCUGUCAUUAGAAUAGAAUUUAAUGAAUUUAUUAUUUUUUUAUUUAAUUCGUAUCAGACACCACUUCAAUAUAAUAAUUGAGAAAAAAGUUUGGAAAAGGAGAAAUAAUGACUUUUUUGACAAAGACUCGUUGAUUUCAACUCAAGACAUCAAAUUAAGAAAGAAAAUACUUUCAAGAACAAUAUAAAAUACAAGAUGUAUCAAUUUAAUAGAUUGUGCAACACUCUUGCAGACUUUUUCAAUAUUGAAUUUAUUUGUUCAGUAUCUAAUUUAACAAAUUUUUUUUAGCACGUAAAUUAUUGUAAGCUUUUUUGUGUUAUAAUUAUGCUGUAAUUUAUUAGGUUUUCAAGAACAUACAGCAACGUGAAUUAGCCACUUUAUUUUUUUUAUUUUUUAUUUUUAACAAAAAGAAGAAUUACCCCAUUCUUUAACAUAGAAAUUGUAUAGAAAAUAUCAAGGCCACAGCCUACCGCCAUUAGUUGUCUUGAAUUUAGUUAAAGGAUUCAAAGACCACUGGGCAAAAAUUUAGGGGGCGGUUGGUUUGUCGUUUUUGGGCCAUUUUCCGUUUUUCGUUUUCGAAAAUACGAAAAAUGCGUUUGGUCCGUCGUUUUCGAAAACGCAUUUUCGAAAAAGAGUUAAAAUUUAUAACUGAAAACGCAAAAUGAAUUUUAUCAUUUUAAACGUUUUCAGUUAUAAAUGCCCAAAACGCGAAAAACGCCCAAAACGUGGCGUUUUCGGGGAAAACUAAAAAUCGUUUUGAAAUCGAAAAUGAAAAAUGAAAAUGCAAACCAACCGCCUCCUUUAGCUUUUGAAUUUGCAUUUUCUUUAAAUUUUACUAAAGAAUUAAAAAUUGAUUUUUGUAAAAUCUGCUUCCUGUCAUUAGAAUGGAAUUUAAUGAAUUUAUCAACCAUUUUGCUGAAUUAUUCAAUAUUCUAAAUAUAUAAAUUUGUCUUUAACAAAGGAACGGGGAAGUCUUCGAUUUUUGGGGGAGAAAUCCUUUGAUUGCAUAGGGUGAGUUAUGAGAAGAGAGAAAAAAGAAUGAAAGUUAAUAAAUUUUUUGUGUAUUUUAUUAAGAACUAAAGUCCUAUAUUUAUAGGUAAGAAUUAAGGAUACAAUGGUAAUAAUUUUUAGAACUGUAGGGGUAAAAUUGUUAUUCACUACUAAACCCUAAUAAACUUGUCAUUUACAACACUUCCUCUUGAAUGACACUACAAAAUAUAUGUCUCGUUAAAACCUUGUUUGAUAAAAAUUCAAUUGGACAAAAAAAUCAAACUAAGGAAAAGAGUAUAGUUAUUUUGGAAUAUUAAAAAUAAAUGUUAUCUCAUUAAAACCUUGCUAGGAAAACCAUGUGAGAUAAAAGCUAAGCGAAGGAAAAAGAGUAUAGCUACUUCCACUGAUAUUGAUUAUUGAAAAUCUUUUGAAUUGACGCAUUCCAAUCUUGUGAACCAAUUUCUUGAAUAUAGAUGUCAGCAGUGCUUUUGUGAAUAAAUCGGCCACAUUAUUACUUGAGCGAAUUUGUUAGAUAUUGAUGUCACAAUUCUUUUGAAACUCGUGUGUACGAAAGAAUUUUGGAGAAAUAUGUUUUAUCUUAUCACCAUUGAUAUAACCUCCUUUGAGUUAUACAAUACAAGCUGCAUUGUUUUCAUACAAAUUUGUUGGACUAUCUUUGAUUGAAAUUAACCCUCUUGAUACUUGGAUAUGAUGAGACGUGUUUCUCAACCAUAUACAUUCUCGACCUGCUUCAUGGAUUGCAAAUUUUUAGAAUGAUUUGAGGAUGUUGCUGUCAAUGAUUGCUUUAUAUAUCUCCAUGAUAUAGCUGUUUCACCACAUGUAAAUGCAUAUUCUGUUUGUGAUUUAAUUUUAUGUGGGUCGGAGAGAUUGAUGCGAACCCGAUCAGUAAGGUUGCAAUCGAACUUACAAAAUAUUGAAUCAAACCUAGGAAAGUUCCAAACAACAAAGGUUUGUGGAAUUUGACACAAAAUAAUGGAUUAAACAACCCACACAGCCAAGAUGACAUGUAGACCUUUUAAUCACAAAAUUAAUAAAUCAAAAAUUCGAAUAAGUUAAAGAUCAAUUCGAAAAUUAAAUGAAUCAAGAAAUCUAGGCAAUUACAUGAAUACAUUGACCCCGUGAUUACACAAUUUAAGAAUCUCACUUUGAUUGGUGAACGCCACGAAAAAUCAUCCCGAUAAGUUUGAUAAAUUUUUCAUGAAGAACAAACAAGAAAACAAACUUGCCUCUCAAUUUCAAUAUGCGAAAAGUCUUCUUCCAAUGAAUAAUAAAACUCCUAUUUAUGCGAAAGAAUAUAAAACCUAAUUUAAAAAGGAAUAAAAUCCUAAAAUAUUGUAAAACACAAAAUUAGAGUCCUAAUAAUGUUAAAGUUACCAAAAAUAAGAAAUUGACUCAAAACAAAUCUUCUCGCGCGGAAAGGAAAUUUUCUAGCCAAAAAACUCAUAUGCGACCGCGACAUGUAUUUGGCUGCAGUCACAUGGCAUAUAGACUGCUACCUGUGAAAUCCCUGCACCCUCUCAUGCGGCCGCACGGUGGUUUUAACCAUGCGGUCGCAUGGUUACUUGGUUUUUGCUCCAAACUCGAUUUUCUUCCAACAACUUGAUUCAAUCGGUUUUUGGCCUUCAACCUCAAUACAAAUCCUGGACUUUGGCUCGUUGACUCCACCAUAUCGAAAUCCAUAACUCGACCAUGCAUUUAUACUGGUUUGUUGGCCCGAACGAAGCUUGAAUCUUGUCCUUAGCUGCCCUCCAACGUACAUCAAAUCAUUGGUCGUUUGGCGCCCAAGCCAAAUCACAUCAGAGAUAACCUGCAUCUAUAUAUCCCAAUAAAGCAGAUCCCGACAUUUGAGAAUAAAAUAAUCCCAAAUCUAUAGUGCCCUUUAGGUAAUGAAAAAUAUAUUUAAUACCAUUCUAAUGCCUUUGAGUUGGUGUAGAAAUAUAUUUUCAUGAAGAUUUACAGAAAAAGUUAUGUCAGGUCGAGUACAAUUUGCAAUAUAAGUUAAUACUCCAAUUGCACUAAGAUAUGCUACUUCAGGACCAAGAAUUUUUCUCCAUCUUCAAGAAGACAAAAAUUGAUCUUUUUUCACAUCAAGUGAUCAAACAACAAUAUGUGAUAAGCGCUUUAAGACUAGUUCUGUGUAAGUAGAUGAUGAAUAAAAAAUGCUUCUGGGAAAUGUCCGAGACAAAAAUUGGUUUUCGCUAAUUUUUCAUCUCAAAUUCAUUUUUCAAAUAAUCACCAGUUUGUUAAGCUCUUCAAGAGUUCCAAUUAAAUUUAAAUCAACAUAAACGGCCACAUAUACAAAUAUAAUAUUUGUUUUUUUAUGAAAACACAUGGGGCAGACAUCGUCAUUUGUAUAACUCUCUUUCACAAAUAUUUUCUAAGACGAUUAUAUCACAUGCGUUCAGAUUUUUUCAUUCCAUUUAAUAAUCUUUACAAUUUAAUUGAUAACAUGGUUCUCGGACAUGUAUCAUUUGUUCCUAACACUUUAAGUCCUUCGGGAACUUUUAUAUAUAUGUCACUAUCAAGUGAAUCAUACAAAUAGACAGUUCCAACAUCCACAAGGCGCAUAUCAGGUCUUUGUGAUACGAUCAAACAAAUUAACAAUCUAAAAGUUAUGAUUUCCAUUACGAGAGAGUAUGUUUCUUCAUAAUCAAAUUUCGAUCUUUGUGAGAAACACUGAGCUACAAAUCAGGCUUUGUCUAUUGUAACUUAAUUAUUUUCGUUUCUCUUUCGUACAAAAAUCCAUUUAUAUCUUACAGUGAUUACAUUUCAGGUGUUCAAGUUACAAGUCCAAACUUUUUUUUUUUUCAUUUUUCUAAGGAAUUUAAUUUCACUUGUAUGACUUCUUUCUAUUCUGGCCAAUCAUUUCUAUUUUAACAGUCUUUAACUGAUUGUGGUUCGGGGUCCUCAUUUUACAUAAUAUUAAGAGUCACAUUAAAUGUGAAAAUAUCAUUUAUAACAAUAUUAUUCCGUUCCCAUAAUUUAUGAGAUAAUAUAUAAUUUAUUGAAGUCUCAUUAUUUUCGGACACUUGUAGUUCUUCAGGAACCAUAUUUUCAAUAUUUGAUUGAUCAAUCUUUUAUAGUGUUACUUCUUCCAAAGUUUUUGAUUGGUUAUUUUCUUGUACUUUUCUUUUUUCGAGGUACAGAAUUUUUCGAACAAACUGGUCAAUCACACUUCUGACGUAUUGGGAUUCAUUUGUUAUAGCAAAUUGUCCUUCGGGGAUAUCAAUAUUUGCUAGAGUAUUUUCUAUUGGAAUGUAUGAAUUGUCAUUUUCUAGUGUCAACAAAAACAUUAGGUAAUUGAUUUGCAACCUUUUGGAAAUGAAUGAUUUGUUCAACAUUUUGCUCACAUUGAUUGCUGAGAGAAUUAAAAUGAGAUAGAAUUAUUUCAUUCCAAGAACUUUUACCUUAUUCUUCAGGAUGUAGUUUUUACCUUUCAAAGUUAGGAAAGUCAUUUUAUUAAAAUGACAAUCUGCAAAACGUAUUAUAAAUAAAUCACUUGCUAAAGGUUCAAAAUACAUAAUAAUAGACGGUCAAUCAAAAUCCACAUAAAUCUUAGUCUUUGUUGGGGGCCCAUUUUAGUACGUUAUAUGGUGCGAUGGAAACUUGGACAAUACAAUCAAAAAUUCUUAGGUGAGAAAUAUCAGGUUCAUGAUCAAAUGCAGUUGGUCUAAUACAAACCAAUAAUGCAACAUGUAAUAUGGUAUGUCCCAAACAAAAGAUAAGAAUUUUGUUUACAUAAGUACUUAUCUAACAAUAAGUUGUAGAUAUUUAAUAAAUGACUCCGCUAAACCAUUUUAUAUAUGGACAUGUGCAACCAAAUAUUCAAUUACAAUCCCAAUUGACAUAAAAUAAUCAUCAAAUACUUGUAAUCUAAAUUCACAAGCAUUGUCAAGACGAAUAGUCUUGAUUGAGUAAUAGGGAACUGUACUCAUAAUUUUAUGAUUUGAGUAAAUAAUCUAGAUAAGGAUACAUUCCUAGUAGAAGCAGGCAAACAUGUGAUCAUCUAAUAAAAGAAUCAAUUAAUAUCAUAAAAUAACGAAAUGGUUUACAUGGUGUGUUUAUUGUCCUACAUAUAUCUCCAUAAAUUCUUUCCAAGAAAAAUGGAGAUUCAAUACAUGACCUUCGUAGUCGAAGGUCUAAUGACUAAUUUACCUUGUGAAUAAGUUACACAUGGAUGAUCAAAAUGUAAAAGAAUCGUCUAGUUCUUUAAAGGAUGUCUGUGUGAGUCGAUUAUUAUUCAAUGCAUCAUGCCAACAUAUAAACGUUUUGGGCCAACGAACUUUUGGUUCGUGACAUCAUUUGAUUUAACUAUUUUUAUAAAUGUAUAAUACAUGUCAGAUGUAAGUGCAUGAAGUUUUUCUUUUAUUUGCUUUUUAUUAGAUACAAAAGAAAUUAUGUAAAGAUAUUCAACAUUAUUUUCUUGCAUCAUUUCAAUAUGAUAUCCGUUACAGCAGAUAUUUUUAAAACUAAGCCUAGAAUAAAGUAUAUCGUCAAUAUAUAAUUUUGUAUUUUUUGGUAAAAUAAUACAAGCUCUUCCGGGACUUUUGACGUUAUUCGAUGCACCUGAUAUCGUAUUAACAUUACUUUCUGCUAAUGUUAAACCAAAAAAUAUAUAUUUUGUCUUGAAAAAUGGUAUGUGUAAUUACACUUUCAAUCAAAUAGGUAUUUUGACAAAUCCAUCAUGAAUCUAUCAAUAUAAUAAAGUAAAUAUAUUUAAAAGGCUUGAAUUUAAAUUUAAAAAGGUAAAAAUAAUUCAAUGCUGUGAAAUUAACGAAGCAUAAUAAAGUUUCAAUUUUUUUCGAAAAGUACAAAUAUAUUUUAAACUGAAUUUCUAAGAUAAAAGAAAAUACUGGAGACAUAAAAAAAAGCUAAUCUAUAUAUUCUAUCACACCACUCUUAAUUAAAUAGUCAAUAUUCCCAUUGGAUCAGCAAAGAAAUUGAAGACACUCAACUGAGUCACAUCAAUUGGGCUAUCAUAAUCAGAAAAAUUUGUUCCUAAAUUUCCCUUUCCCUUAUUGAAUUUUGGUAAAGAUCCACAAGAUAUUUUGUCGUACGAUAGGUACAUGCCCUAUGCCUUUUCAUCCCCCAUUUAAAGCAACUUUCUUUAUGCUCCUUUAUGGAUAUGCUACUUUCGUUUACUUUGUAUUUUUGGAAGUUGUUACAUUGUUGUUGAUAGUUUUGUUGAUUAUUUCGUCCAUGGUUUAUUCCAUGUGCAUGUUUGCAUCUACAUCCAAAUUCGUAUCCAUGUCCACGUCCUUAUUUUAAUAUUGCAUUUGCUUCAGGUAACGCAUUACCAUUUGCUUCAAGCAAUGGUACAGAACUAGUUGGACAUAAUUCAUGAUUUUCAUCAACAGUUCAUUAUUUUGUUCAGCAAUAAGCAAGUAGGAUAUAAGUUUUGAGUACAUUUUGAAACCAUAAUGCUAUAUAAGCACAUUCGAAACGUGAAAGGUGGAAAAAGUUCUCUCCAACAUAUCCUUAUCAGUGGUUUUUUCUCCACACAAUAUCGAUUUUAAACUUAUUCUGAACAGUUCAGAAUUGUACUUACUAACAAUUUUGAAAUUUUGUAAACGAAUGUGCAUCCAUUCAUAACGGGUUCUGGGAAGGAUUAUAGUCCUCUGAUGAUAAAUUUUUUUAAUUUUUUCAAAAAAUCUGUGGAUAUUUCUCAAUGAGAUAUUUAAUUUUCAAUCCAUCACGAAGAUGGUGACGAAGGAAGAACAACAUUUUUACAUGAUCUUGAAGGGAUUCUUUGUUUUCUUUUUUUAUUGUCUCUCUCAAACAUUUUAUGACAAGAUGAAUAUCAACAUCAAGUGCUCAUGAUAGAUAGUUUUUGCUAGAUAUGUCAAAUGCAACAAACUCAAAUUUUGUGAUGUUUGUCAUUUGAUUAAUUAUACAAUAAAUAAAUAGGAAAAAUUGCAGUAACUGUCCCAAACCUUUCACAUUUUUGCAGACUUUACCUUAAUCCCUUCAUUUUGUGUUACCAACAGUCCCAAAACUUUCAAAAAUAUGCACCGAGAAUUCAAAUAGAUGGAAACUGUCAAUUUGACAGUUAGUUGACCAAUAAAGUCAAAAUUGGAUUAGUUUUGACCAUUUUAGAAGGGGCAAAAUGGUACUUUACAUUUUUAAAAAAAAUUAAAAUAAGUUAUUUAAUUAAAUUAAAAAACCAAAAAAUAAAUAUAUAACUAAUAUAUAAACCCCAAUCAAAAACUUUCUCCGUCCUUCUUCUCCGACGAGAGACCACCUGAACGCAGAACUCAACGAAAUCAACAUUAAUGGCAGAGAAAUUUCAAACCCAGCAGUGUCAAAAUCAACAAACCCACCGCAGAAAUCCAUUCAAUUUCCGUUGAUUGAAAGCACAAUCCCAAUAAUGGCAGAGAAAUUUCAAACCCAGCAGUGUCGACAGCACCGCCAGGUGACCAGCUACAACAACCCAUCUCACACAAAUUGUCCAGUAAAUCGCCCCGCCACCAUCAAACCAAGUUGGGAACGUAAAGGAUCUUAAUCAGCCCGGAAUCAAGUUGGACGAAACUCUAGUUGUUCACCGGAUGCGCCAUUGCCUGUAUGACAUAAUCGGUAGUGAUGUGGUAACAUUGAGGCUAUUGAGUUUGGUAAAGCCGAAAUUGAGUCACGGGGAGAGUUUCUUUUGGAGAUUCGUCGAGGCCUUGCAUAAUUAAUCGGCAUUUUUCGAUGCUAUUGGUGAUGGAUUGGGUGCAGAUAGUAUAGAGAAGCAUACGGUAGAGCAACUGUUCUUUAGUGUGAGAUUAGGAACAUUGUCGUGGUGGUUGGGCCCAAGCGGUUAAUGGCGAAUUGGCAAUGGCCGGCGGUGGUGACGCUCGACGGUGGCGACGCCCCUGUUGUCUUUGGUUUGGUUUUAAGGUUGGCGUGGUUGGGGGGAUUGGCGAGGAGAAGACAACUGGUUUUAGAUUUUUAUUUUUUUUAUUUAGUUAUUUUAUUUUAUUUUAAUUGUUUUAUUAUAUAAAUGUAAAGUACCAUUUUACCCCUUCUAAAUUGGUCAAAACUAGUCCAAUUUUGACUUUAUUAGUUAACUAAUGGUCAAACUGUCUUCCAUUCAUUUGGAUCCCUGUUACAUAUUUUUUAAAGGUUUGAAACUGUAAAUGGCACAAAAUGAAAAUUAAGGUAAAAUCUGCAAAAAUGUGAAAGAUUUGGGAUCGCUACAUAAAUUUUCCAUAAAGAAAUACAAUAGUUUUGAAGAAGGGUAAUUGGGGCAAAACAUCCCUACCUUUCAAAGUUAUUGUGGAAAACAUCUAUAUCUUUCAUUUUUUUGGCAUUUUUGCCUCUAUUUUCACUUUUUUUUGCACUGAACGUCACUUCUACCAAAUUUUGAAGUAAAAUGACCAAUAUGCCCUCAUAUACUAACAAAACAAAAAAAGAAUAGAAAAUUGCAAUUAUAACCGAACUUUUAAAAAGUACAAACGAGUCAAAAUUUUUAAAAAAACCAUCACCAAACCAUCUAAACUCAAAAUGGGGCCCAUCUUUCGAGCCAAAAAAACUCCCACAUAGAGACAACACUAUCCCCGUUUCUUUUGGAGAUUCGUCGAGGCCUUGCAUAAUUAAUCGGCAUUUUUCGAUGCUAUUGGUGAUGGAUUGGGUGCAGAUAGUACAGAGAAGCAUACGGUAGAGCAACUGCUCUUUAGUGUGAGAUUAGGAACAUUGUCGUGGUUGUUGGGCCCAAGCGGUUAAUGGCGUUGGCCGGCGGUGGUGACGCUCGACGGUGGCGACGCCCCUGUUGUCUUUGGUUUGGUUUUAAUUGAUUUUCUGGAGGAUCUCCUGCUUCUAGUUUGUCUAACGAGAAUGAACUAAUGCACCCAAAUGCACUUCCACUAGGAGGCGUAGGGUGAGGGGAUAAUUUGUUUCCGUAAAAUAAUUUUAUCUCACAAUUUAUCUCAUAAAACAUGUCUCUGACUCUCUUGAAGAGACUUUCUGGUUUGGAAGCGUGGGGGUAGGGAUAGUGGAUUGUCUCUGUUUAGGAGUUUUUUUAGCUCCAAAGGUGGGCUCCAUUUUUAUUUUAGGUGGUUUCUGUUAGGAAUUUACUUAAACAUGCACAGCGAAAUUUAACAAAUUUCAAUUUUCAUUUAGGAUUCAGCUUUGUAUUUAGAUAAAAACUAUGAUAAGAAAUAUACCUUUACUUGUGAUUUGCAAACUCCUUCGCGUUAUUCCUUUCCAGCAGCUUGAAUCUGUCUCCCACAACUGUCCAAUUGUCCAGCCUCCAAUGAAAUCCACACAGAGAGUAGACUGCAACUGCUAGGGUUUCUUUCUUGUGCUAGCAAGAAUAAUGAAUACCUGAUGGACAUCAAACCCUAGCUGUGUAUAUAUAUAAACCCAAACGGACCCGGCCCGGUCCGAUCCAAUAUUUAAUUAAUCCAAUUAAUCAAACCCGGUCCGUGAAUUAAUUAAUCCAAUUAAUUAAUUCGGGAUUAUAAAUAACAAAUUCAAUUAAUUAAUUUAUCCAACGAUUGUUAUAUUAAUCAAUUGACAAUUUGCAGUCUUCCAAUUCUCUUUUGUGUGCGACCCAUUAGGUUCCCGACCACGAUGCCUAACGUUGUGAAAUAUUAUUUUGAUCUAAUCAAAAUUGAUAAAUUAAUACACCCUUUUAAUUUAUCGUCAAUUCACAUUCGCCGUCCCUGAUUGACAUCUAGCAAUGUGUCAGGGCAAUACAUGUGACGGGAAAUGUCACGUGGUAUGACAAAACCAAAUUCGUUCGUUUACCGUGGAACUAUUAUCCCUUCGUCAAUUCGAUCCGAUCAAUUACGAGAUAUGGAAUUGUGUCAAUCUCGAUCAUUGAUCAUAUCUUUUACUCCACUAUUAAGUCAAUAUAAAUCGAAAUCUCCUUUUCGACUUAUGAGUACACCUUGGCCAAGGAUUUCAUCAUCGACUUAAUUGAAUGAAACGCAGAUCAUAAUCUCCUACUAUCUAAGAGUGACGAAUCCUUUAUUGAUCAAUCACAACCUUCAUACGAUUCUUGACGUACCCGAACGAUGUCGUAUUAGCGGCCCCUUUCAGAGCAACAUCCAACAUCGCCAAAGUAUGACUGUCCUCAUAUAAGGUAUCAUGACGACCUCAAGUCAAAUGACCAAUUCCACUACCGAACGUUAGAGAUUAGCCACUGACACUCAGAUAGUUAUCCAUGUGGAAUCUUUUAGCGAGUCUCCAAUGUUUUGUUCUAUAACAAAACAUCUACGUGUUCAUUUAAGUGUCACCACACUUUAGCUCUUGAGAUCAGCUACUUACUUUACAAGUAAAAAAUGCCACACGUGAUGGUCUAACUGUAUUAACGAUAUUCGUAUCUCGUUAUUACUUACGACCAUGGUUUAUUCAAGAUCCAAUUAUAUGUAAUUUGUAUUUCACAAUCACAACUCCUUGUGAUUAACAUAUUACCUAAAAAUUGGAUCUUCGGAUUCUAUUAUUUAUUACAAAAUUAAUUUAAAUAAAUAAUAGUUCUCGCCAAAAUCAAAUGCAUUAAAUAUAUUAAAAGCGUUUACAACAUAAAUCGAUUGGAUCUAGGGCAUAACACUUACAGUUUGGUGAUGGUUUUUUUAAAAUUUGGAUUCAUUUGUAUUUUUAAAAGUUUGGGUUUAUUGUUGUAAUUUUUUUCUGUUUAAAUAGGAGGGUAUAUAGGUCAUUUUACGUCAAAAAUGGUGAAAAAGAUGUUCAGCGAAAAAAAAAAAAAAACAAUUGAAAAUAGGGGCAAAAUGCCAAAAAAUAAAAGGUAUGGAUGUUUUUCACAAUACCCUCGAAAGGUAGAGAUGUUUUGCGCUAAUUACUCUUUCGAAAAAUUUGAUUAAAGAUUAUAUCACAUAAUAAUUAACUUAAGUAGUCAAUGCCAACAUGACACAAGUCAUAUGUUUCCUUUCAGAGAUAAAACACUAAUUAAAAAAUAAUAUAUUCUUCGAAAUACGUGUUAUUUCGAGAGUACGUUAUAUUUUUCUAUUGCUUCUUCAAGAGCAAUAUAUCAAUAUUCUUUUAGAAUAUUGAAAAAUAUAAUUUAUAUUCUCUAGGAGCAAGUAAUAUUCUUCAAGAAUAUGAAUUAUAAUAUUAUGUUACUUUAUAAGCAAUAAAAAUUAUUUAUGAUAGACAGAUUUACAUUUAAUAUUCUUCUGAAAUAUUAAUUAUAAAAUUGUGUUACUUCAGGGGCAACAACAUGAUAAAUUAUUAAUUUAAAAUUUAUAUAAGAAAAUCUGAAAAUAUUUAAUCAUGUUAAGUUACAGAGCAUUUAAUAAUAAUUAUAAAAUAUUUAUCCUACCAAAUAAACUAAAGCAUAGAGUAAGGAAAUAAAAGCAUAAACUAAAGAAUAAUAUUUUGUACAGACAAACAUGAAUAGUAUGUGUACAAUUAUGAAUUAAAGUAUGAAUAUAUGUAUAGAAGAGCAGCCUCAUACAAAAAUUCAUUGUUUAACCAUUUCAAUAUUUACGGUAAAAGAAGAAAACAAACAUAAUGUUUUCAUAAAAAAAAAAGGAUAAUUGGCGCAAAACGUCCCUACCUUUAGAGGUUAUUGUGGAAAACAUCUCUAUUUUUCAUUUUUUGACAUUUUUGCCCUUAUUUCAACAUUUCGUUUCACUGAAAGUCAUUUUCACUGUUUUGGAACAAAAAAUGACAAUUAUACCCUCUGUUUAAAACAAAAAAUGAAAAGAUAGGAUCCAAUGCUUGACGGCGCUGUGCGUGGUGGUGAAUGUAUGUGGUUUGUAGUGGUACCGAGGUGAUAGUUUUUGUUGAGUUGAUGGUUUUUGGAGUGGUGGUGGUUUUUCGUGUUUUGGUGUUGGGGGUGGUUUUUGUUGGUGUUUGUGGUGUUAUUGUUAUUGUUGUUGUUGAUGUUGUUGUUGGUGGUGGUGGUAGUGGGGCGAGACGGACAGUGUUUGUAGCUAACUAUUUAGGUGCUUGUGAUCAGGUAUUGGUGAUUGAUAUCAAUCGGGAUCGAGGGUGGAGUGUUUGGUGUAUGUGACUAACUAUUUAAUUGUAACCUAAAAAAAGGAUAAUUUGUGACCAACUAAUUUAAAAAUUCGUGAUCAAUGAAUUAACUGUAACCUAUAAUUUUUAAAUUUGUGAUUGAUGAAAUAUAUUAUGACCUAUGAAAAUUUUGAUUUGUGACAUUAAAAUAAUCUGUGACCAAUUAAUUUGAUAAUAUAUGACCAAUAAAUAAAUUGUGACAUAUAAGCAUGUUACCUAUGACCAUUAAUUAUAUAAUUGCGACCUUAGUAUAUUUAAUUAAUAAAAUAUUUAUAAUUAUUCAUUUAUCACCCGAAUUUUAUAUUUUGAAAUUUGAAUUGUCCCAUAAUUAAUACCCUUGUUGUAAAUUUUUCCCUUAUAUUAUAUGGUUAGUUGUUCAAAUGAUUGUAUUUUGAAUUAAAAAUUAAAGAAUUUUUUCUUAUUGUCUUUGGCCCAAAUUUCGAUCUUUCUCACUACCCAAAUUUGGAAUGAGAACGAAUAGAGUGCGAUCAAGGAAGCCCUUCUCUCGUCCUCUACCGAGGAUUAAAAUAUCCUCAUUUUCUCCAUUUAUUAAGCCACUGCUUGAUCUUUAUUAAAUUUUUUUUUUUUGAAAAAAAUGUGUUUUGAAAUAUUUAUUUUUUGGAGAUUGUGUAGUUAAAAAAAUAAGGAAAGUUUUGCGUUCAUGUGCUAUAUUAUUUUAUAGGAGAAUAUAUAGUUGCAAAUAGGCCUGGGCAUUUUGAUCAGAAUCGAAUCUCCCGAAUUGAAACCGAACUUGAAUCGAAAAUUUCAAUCCGGUUCCUCAAAAAAUAAAGAGGUAAUUAUAUAAAAUCAGAAUGUUAAAGAUUCAAUUUCGAAAAUCAGAGAUAAAAUUUAUUUAUACAAUAAUUAAUAUUAAUAAUUCAACCAAAAUUGAAAAUUCAACGCAAACCCUCCCCGCUCAUUUCUCUCUCUAGCUCCCUCACUCACGGCAAUCGACUCUCUCCAUAUCCAUCGAACAUCAUAGCCUGCCGACGUCUCGUUUCUAAUCGUCGGUAAGUAAUGACCCCUUCUUCAUCGUCGAAAACCGACAAUUCUCUCUCUAUGUUCUCACCUCUCUCUGCCGGAAAGUGACCUUGCCGAAAUGAAGCCUUGAGAAGCAGCCGAACAUCACCACCUCUAUCAUAGGUUGCUUCAGGGCCAAGUCACCUGAUGUACCUUAUGAUUGUGAAGCAGAUCUUUUGAGAUAAGACCGUGGGUUAUUGUUGUGUUGUGGGUUGUGGCGGUGGCUACGAUCAUAUGGUGGUGGUAGUGGCUGCGGUGGUGGUGAUGUUCACUGUGGUGGUAGAGGUGGGAAUGUCUUUGGAUUGAGUUGUUGGCUGUGGUAUUUUUUGGUGAUAUUUGGGUGGUGGUGGUGGCUGCUUACAUAUUUUGGCGUUGGCGGUGAUGGUCGUGGAAGUAGGUGCGAUGGUGAUUGUGGUAUGUUGGUGUUCUAAAAUGUGUUGAGGUGGUGGUGGUUCUGGCGAGUGGAACUAGCUGAAAAAUUACGUUUGGGUGAGGUUGUGAGUUGAGUAUUGUUAGUUUGUUUGGUGGCGGUGGUUGUGGUGGUUUUUGGCGACGGUGGAGGUUGUUGGUUUCAGAGUUUGGUGUGUGGUGAUGGUGUGGUUACUGUGACGGUUGUUGUGGCGGGUGGUCGUCGGGGGUAGAUGGGAUGGGAUGUAGGGGGUGUUUGUGACCAGUAUUUUGUUUCUAAUAAAUAAUAUGUAACCUAAAAAAUGUAACUGUGAUCAACAAACAAGUUGUGACCAAUAAAAAUUUUGAUUUUGUAAUCAAUCAAUGAAUUGUGACAUAUGAAAUUUUUGAUUUGUGACUGAUCAAUGAACUGUGACCAGUAAAAAAAUUGAUUUUGUGACCGAUCAAAUAAUUGUGACCUAUGAAAUUUUUUAUUUGUGACUGAUGAAUUGUGACAAAAAAAAUUUGAUUUUGUGACCAAUCAAUGAAUUGUGACCUAUGAAAUUUUUGAUUUGUGACCGACAAAUGAGUUAUGAUCAAUAAAAAUUUUGAUUUGUGACCGAUCAAUGAAUUGCGACCUAUGAAAUUUUUGAUUUAUGAUCUAUAGAAUUUUGAAUUUGUGAUUUAAAAAUAAUUUGUGACCAAUUAAUUUGAUAAACUGUGACCAAAUAUAUAGAUUUGUGACCUUAAUAUGUUUAAUUAAUAAAAUAUUUUUUUAAUAAAUUAUUUCAUUAAGAGUAUCUGAAAUUUGAAAUUGCAAACCUUCUCCUCUUAAUUUUGAAGUAGGCUAUAAAUAAAUUUUUACAAAUGAAUUUUUCCCAAAAAUAAAUUAGGAACCGGAAUUGAUAACCGACUGGGUUCGGUUCUUGGUUCCUAUGCUAGAACCGUGGGUACUUGAGUUGAAUCGAUUUUUAUGAAAAAAAAAAUUAUUUAAAUUUUAUAGGCUUAAAAAACAUAUAAAACCUAAAAAUCCUAAAUUUGGUAGUAAUUAGUCUAAAACUUUAAAUUCUUACCCCUAAAAAAUAAGUUUGGCUCUUACUUUUUAACAUUUCGCCUUACAUCAGAUUGUUGCAUUUCAGAUGUUAUUAUGUUAAUGUUUACAAUUUGAACUUUUUACAAAUCAAAAAUUUCAAAAAGGUUGUGGUAUAAGUUGAUGAAUCAAAGCGUUUAUUCUUUACAAUUCAAAAUUUUUUUUAUUGUUAAUAAACUGAAGUGAUUCUUUUAAUUUUUCAUAACACGUGGCAAUUGAAUUUAAUAUAUUCAUUGCUUGCGCUGUGUUGUACCUUUUUGUUAUCUUGAGUUCGUGGUUCUCUUUUUAAAUAUAUAUUUUUAUUUUUUUAUUCAAAUAGAGUGAGUUCAAUAUGUGGACCGUAAUUUUUUGAUACUAUAUUAUUUAUGUAUUUAAUUAGUAUUUUUUUUUAUAUCAGUUCGUUUUAAAAGUAGAAGAAUUUAAGCAUUGUUUAUAAUUAAAUUAUAUGCCUAAUAUGCUUCUCUUAUGGAUCGAAUAAGAUUUAUUAAGAAAGAUUAUAUAUUUUUUUAUAUUAUAAUUUUACUUUUGAUCUUUACUUUAUUUUCUCCUAUUAUAUCCAAUAUUUUGCUCGUUGAAAGUUUUUUAACUGAAUUUUCUCCAUUGCAUAAAUAUUUUCAAGUAACAGCUUAUUAGCCUACUAGGGGCGUGUAUGGUAAAAAAUUUUCACUAGAUUUUCAUUGCUUUUUGGACCUUUUUUUCCACCGGGGGUCCCACACAAGACUCAUUCAGUCCAAGAUUGCGGCUCCAACGGUAAGAAAUCUGCUGCCCAAUGGUCAGAAUUCUGAUGAAAAUUUCUCCCAGUCAGGGCCUAAGUAUAUGUACCAAAAUGGUUUAUAUAAAAUAUUUAUUAAAUGUAUAUAAAAAUAUUAUGGAUAACCGACUAUUUGAAUUUAGGUUUGGUUCCAAUAUUUAAAAAGAUCCGAAUGAUUCCAUUUGCGAAAUAUUCGAAGUAUAAUAGAUGAUUUUGGAUAUUAAAAUACUUGCAUCGAUCCAUCCGAUGCCCAGGCCUAAUUGAAAAUGAGUUAUAGAAAAAUAUAUAUUUCGAAAAAAUAAAGUCCAAACAAGGGCUAAAUACAAUUUGAAUAUCAAGAUAUAUUAAAAUGGGAUGAGACAGAACAUCAUCGUCGUCCCAAAUAGAUAAGUAAUUAAACAAGAUGAUAAAUAAUUUUUUUUUUCUCCAUCUUGCUUUAUUUCGCUUCUGGAAAAGUCAAUAAUGGCUGCCCGCUGCCUAGGGGUGUCAAAAAGGUUCGGAGGCUCAGGCGGCUCGUGGUCCAGCUCGUGGCUCGGAGCCGACCCCAAAAUGGGGGGUUGGCCCGAGCCCGGGCCAGCCCGUAAAAGAAAAAAAAUAAAGAAAAAAUUAAUACGUUGCAUUGCAUUGUGAGGCAGCAUUUCUUCCAAUUAAAGGAAUCAUUAAGCUGCCAAAUUUUGUAUAUUAUAAUGAGUAACGAGUGAGCUGUGGUUACGUGACGCUCUGCCUGGGGAAUGGAAUAUCUUACUGUAUUUUGUACUCUAUAUUAGAGCUGUUUGAGUCCCAUCAUUUGUAGAUUAUAAUGAGAUAAUCCCAACUUAAUUGGAUUUUUUUAAAGAUGCAAUCCCGUUUAGUACUUUAAACCUAACGAAUUAUUCUAGUGGUACCUAAAGGAGUACCGAAGGGUGUAGAAUAAUCCAAACCAAACAGAGACGAUUUUUGGCAGAACCUAAUGGUCAUUUUAAAAGCAGCUGAUGGAUGAAGACAGCUAAUAAAACAAGAAAAAGUGGAAGCAAUAACAAGGAAAGUUCGAUCACAAGCACCAACUGCCAUAGAAAUUAACUCGAAAUACAUCAAAAUAUGUCGUGCAUGAGAACUAUAGUCUCAUUUAUGCCAAAACUAAUCCACGGAGAAAGCUUAUUGAAUCAAUGAGACAGCAAAUUAUGAACAAAACCGACUAGAACAUUCACGAUAGUUACAUAUAUGACACUUUUCCCUUUAUUUGCUCCAACAUAACACCGGAAAUGUUUUCCACGAAGUAUGACUGAUGUUUGUGAUGACAGUUUUAUCCGUAUAGGAAAAAUAAAUAAAGAAGACAUCCAAAAGUAGAAAAAACAAGAACUCUAAGAAUACAGAUUUAAGAUCAAAAGUAAGGUAAAAUUAUUGUUUUUGUUAAAUUUAGAAAGAAUUCUUCUAAUAUCUUGAAAGAAUUGUAGGGAUUAUUAUUGUUCAUGUUUGCAAAAAACUUAUCUAAAUAUGUUAUUAUUCAUAAAGUUUGCAAGGAAUUAUUUGAAUAAUGCCAGGUUAUACAAUUAAAGGAUUAGAUAAUCUGUUAGAUAGAUUAAUGGAAAAAAUAGAAAAUAUUUAUUCUCAAUUAGAGAUUAUGGAUAUAUUAUCGAAGGAAUUUGAUAAUCUUAGUAAAUUACAUGACAAUUAUAUUACAGAUUAUGCUAAUUUAUUAGAUCAAAGGAUGAAAUUAUAUAUUAAAACUCGAAAUGAGAGAAAUAGAGGAAUUUAAAACUAUCCCAAUAAAUUAAGGAUAUCUUGUGCAAUAUAUGAUAAAUUAUUUCAUUAAGGGUAUAAUAGACAUUUUAUCAAAAAUAAAUAGUAGCAGGUCAUUUAUAAUAAUACCCCCUAUCCCCUCACCCCACCCCACGCACUCCAACUUUCUGCAACCGUCCAUUUUGGUCGGAUUCCGGAGCUAGUGGAGUUCCAUGGUUGGAUAUUUCUUAUGAUCCGAGAGUUUCUGGCUCUUCUUCGAUGCCGUUCAAGAGCUCGGAUCUCGGAUUCCGAUUUGUGGUGGCAGUGGGGAGAUCAAACAAACAACAAAUCUCAUUAAACAAACACUUCAAAAAAUCUCAUAAAACAAUCACUUCAAAAAUCUCACUUCAAAAAAUCAUUCCCAAACAAACACAAAAUAAUUUUUCACUUAAAAAUUCCUAUUGGAACCGUUCAACUUGGCUCUGGAUUUUCUGGAGGAUAUCCUGCUUCUAGUUUGUCUAACGAGAAUGAACUAAUGCACCCAAAUGCACUCCCACUAGGGGGGGUAGGGUGAGGGGAUAAUUUGUUUCCGUAAAAUAAUUUUAUCUCACAAUUUAUCUCAUAAAACAUGUCUCUGACUCUCUUGAACAGACUUUCUGGUUUGGAAGCGUGGGGGUAGGGAUAGUGGAUUGUCUCUGUUUAGGAGUUUUUUUAGCUCCAACGGUGGGCUCCAUUUUUAUUUUAGGUGGUUUGGUGAUGGUUUUUUUUAAAAUUUGGAUUCAUUUGUAUUUUUAAAAGUUUGGGUUUAUUGUUGUAAUUUUUCUCUGUUUAAAUAGGAGGGUAUAUUGGUCAUUUUACGUCAAAAAUGGUGAAAAGGAUGUUCAGCGCAAAAAAAAAAAUGAAAAUAGAGGCAAAAUGCUAAAAAAUAAAAGGUAUGGAUGUUUUUCACAAUACUCUCGAAAGGUAAGGAUGUUUUGCGCUAAUUACUCUUUCGAAAAAUGUGAUUAAAGAUUAUAUCACAUAAUAAUUAACUUAAGUAGUCAAUGCCAACAUGGCACAAGUCAUAUGUUUCCUUUCAGAGAUAAAACACUAAUUAAAAAAUAAUAUAUUCUUCGAAAUACGUGUUAUUCCGAGAGUACGUUGUAUUUUUCUAUUGCUUCUUCAAGAGCAAUAUAUCAAUUUUCUUCUAGAAUAUUGAAAAAUUUAAUUUAUAUUCUCCAAGAGCAAGUAAUAUUCUUCAAGAAUAUGAAUUAUAAUGUUAUGUUACUUUAUGAGUAAUAAAAAUUAUUUAUGAUAGACAGAUCUACGUUUAAUAUUUUUCUGAAAUAUUAAUUAUAAAGUUGUGUUACUUCAGAAGCAACAACAUGAUAAAUUAUUAAUUUAAAAUUUAUAUAAGAAAACCUGAAAAUAUUUAAUCAUGUUAAAGUUACAUAGCAUUUAAUAAUAAUUAUAAAAUAUUUAUCCUACCAAAUAAACUAAAGCAUAGAGUAAGGAAAUAAAAGCAUGAACUAAAGAAUAAUUUUUUGUACAGACAAACAUGAAUAAUAUGUGUACAAUUAUGAAUUAAAGUAUGAAUAUAUGUAUAGAAGAGCAGCCUCAUACAAAAAUUCAUUGUUUAACCAUUUCAAUAUUUACGGUAAAAGAAGAAAACAAACAUAAUGCUUUCAUAAAAAAGAAAAAAAAGAAAAAAGGAGAAUUGGCGCAAAACGUCCCUACCUUUAGAGGUUAUUGUGUAAAACGUCUCUAUUUUUCAUUUUUUUGACAUUUUUACCCUUAUUUCAACAUUUCGUUGCACUGAAAGUCCUUUUCACUAUUUUGGAACAAAAAAUGACAAUUAUACCCUUUGAUUAAAACAAAAAAUGAAAAGAUAGGAUCUGAUGCUUGACGGCGCUGCGCGUGGUGGUGAAUGUAUGUGGUUUGUAGUGGUGCCGAGGUGAUAGUUUUUGUUGAGUUGAUGGUUUUUGGAGUGGUGAUGGUUUUUCAUGUUUUGGUGUUGGGGGUGGUUUUUGUUGGUGUUUGUGGUGUUAUUGUUUUUGUUGUUGAUGUUGUUGUUGUUGGUGGUGGUGGUAGUGGGGCGAGACGAACAAUGUUUGUAGCUAACUAUUUAGGUGCUUGUGAUCAGGUAUUGGUGAUCGAUAUCAAUCGGGAUCGAGGGUGGAGUGUUUGGUGUAUGUGACUAACUAUUUAAUUGUAACCUAAAAAAACAAUAAUUUGUGACCAACUAAUUUAAAAAUUCGUGAUCAAUGAAUUAACUGUAACCUAUAAUUUUUUAAAUUUGUGAUUGAUGAAAUAUAUUAUGACCUACGAAAAUUUUGAUUUGUGACAUUAAAAUAAUCUGUGACCAAUUAAUUUGAUAAUAUAUGACCAAUAAAUAAAUUGUGACCUAUAAGCAUGUUACCUAUGACCAUUAAUUAUAUAAUUGCGACUUUAAUAUAUUUAAUUAAUAAAAUAUUUAUAAUUAUUUAUUUAUCACCCGAAUUUUAUAUUUUGAAAUUUGAAUUGUCCCAUAAUUAAUACCCUUGUUGUAAAUUAUAAUAAAAGUAGUUCAAAUGAUUGUAUUUUGAAUUAAAAAUUAAAGAAUUUUUUCUUAUUGUCUUUGGCCCAAAUUUUGGUCUUUCUCACUACCCAAGUUUGGAAUGAGAACGAAUAGAGUGCGAUCAAGGAAGCCCUUCUCUCGUCCUGUACCGAGGAUUAAAAUAUCCUCCAUUUCUCCAUUUAUUAAGCCACUGCUUGAUCUCUAUUAAUUUUUUUUUUUUUUUGAAAAAAAUGUGUUUUGAAAUAAUGAUUUUUUAGAGAUUGUGUAGUUAAAAAAAUAAGGAAAGUUUUGCGUUCAUGUGUUAUAUUAUUUUAUAGGAGAAUAUAUAGUUGCAAAUAGGCCUGGGCAUUUUGAUCAGAAUCGAAUCUCCUGAAUUGAAACCUAACUUGAAUCGAAAAUUUCAGUCCGGUUCCUUAAAAAAUAAAGAGGGAAUUACAUAAAAUCAGAAUGUUAAAGAUUCAAUUUUGAAAAUCAGAGAUAAAAUUUAUUUAUAUAAUAAUUAAUAUUAAUAAUUCAACCAAAAUUGAAAAUUCAACGCAAACCCUCCCCGCUCAUUUCUCUCUCUAGCUCCCUCACUCACGGAAAUUGACUCUCUCCAUAUCCAUCGAACAUCGUAGCUGCCGACGUCUCGCUUCUGAUCGUCGGUAAGUAAUGACCCCUUCUUCAUCGUCAAAACCGACAAUUCUCUCUCUAUGUUCUCACCUCUCUCUGUCGGAAAGUGACCCUGUCGAAAUGAAGCCUUGAGAAGCAGCCGAACAUUACCACCUCUAUCACAGGUCGCUUCAGGGCCAAGUCGCCUGAUGUACCUCGUGAUUGUGAAGCAAAUCUUUUGAGAUAAGACCUUAGGUUAUUGUUGUGUUGUGGGUUGUGGCGGUGGCUACAAUCAUAUGGUGGUAGUAGUGGCUGCGGUGGUGGUGAUGUUCGUUGUGGUGGUAGAGGUGGGAAUGGCUUUGGAUUGAGUUGUUGGCUGUGGUAUUUUUUGGUGAUAUUUGGGUGGUGGUGGUGGUGGUGGCUGCUUACAUAUUUUGGCGUUGGCAAUGAUGGUCUACGAUGGUGGUCGUGGAAGUAGGUGCGAUGGUGAUUGUGGUAUGUUGGUGUUCUACAAUGUGUUGAGGUGGUGGUGGUUCUGACGAGUGGAACUAGCUGAAAAAUUACAUUUGGGUGAAGUUGUGAAUUGAGUAUUGUUAGUUUGUUUGGUGGCGGUGCUUGUGGUGGUUUUUGGCGACGGUGGAGGUUGUUGGUUUCAGAGUUUGGUGUGUGGUGGUGGUGUGGUUACUGUGACAGUUGUUGUGGCGGGUGGUGGUCGGGGUAGAUGGGAUGGGAUGUAGGGGGUGUUUGUGACCAGUAUUUUGUUUCUAAUAAAUAAUAUGUAACCUUAAAAAUGUAAUUAUGACCAACAAAUAAGUUGUGACCAAUAAAAAUUUUAAUUUUGUAAUCAAUCAAUGAAGUGUGACAUAAGAAAAUUUUGAUUUGUGACUGAUCAAUGAACUAUGACCAGUAAAAAAUUUGAUUUUGUGACCGAUCAAAUAAUUGUGACCUAUGAAAUUUUUUAUUUGUUACUGAUGAAUAGUGACAAAAAAAAUUUGAUUUUGUGACCAAUCAAUGAAUUGUGACCUAUGAAAUUUUUGAUUUGUGACCGACAAAUGAGUUAUGAUCAAUAAAAAUUUUGAUUUGUGACCGAUCAAUGAAUUGCGACCUAUAAAAUUUUUGAUUUGCGACCUAUAGAAUUUUGAAUUUGUGAUUUAUAAAUAAUUUGUGGCCAAUUAACUUGAUAAGCUGUGAUCAAAUAUAUAGAUUUGUGACCUUAAUAUAUUUUAUUAAUAAAAUAUUUUUUUAAUAAAUUAUUUCAUUAAGAGUAUCUGAAAUUUGAAAUUGCUAACCUUCUCCUCUUAAUUUUGAAGUAGGCUAUAAAUAAACUUUUACAAAUGAAUUUUUCCCAAAAAUAAAUUAGGAACCGGAACCGAUAACCGACUGGGUUCGGUUCUUGGUUCCUAAGCUAGAAUCGUGGGUACUUGAGUGGAACCGAUUUUUAUAAAAAAAAAAAAAUUAUUUAAAUUUUAUAGGCUUAAAAAACAUAUAAAACCUAAAAAUCCUAAUUUUGGUAGUAAUUAGUCUAAAACUUUAAAUUCUUACCCCUAAAAAAUAAGUUUGGCUCUUACUUUUUUACAUUUCGCCUUACAUCAGAUUGUUGCAUUUCAGAUGUUAUUAUGUUAAUGUUUACAAUUUGAGUUUUUUACAAAUCAAAAAUUCCAAAAAGGUUGUGGUAUAAGUUGAUGAAUCAAAGCGUUUAUUCUUUACAAUUCAAUUUUUUUUUUUAUUGUUAAUAAACUUAAGUGAUUCUUUUAAUUUUUCAUAACACGUGGCAAUUGAAUUUAAUAUAUUCAUUGCUUGCGCUGUGUUGUACCUUUUUAUUAUCUUGAGUUCGUGGUUCUCUUUCUAAAUAUAUAUUUUUAUUUUUUUAUUCAAAUAGAGUGAGUUCAAUAUGUGGACUGUAAUUUUUUGAUACUAUAUUAUUUAUGUAUUUAAUUAGUAUUUUUUUUUAUAUCAAUUCGUUUUAAAAGUAGAAGAUUUUAAGCAUUAUUUAUAAUUAAAUUAUAUGCCUAGUAUGCUUCUCUUAUGAAUCGAAUAAAAUUUAUUAAGAAAGAUAAUAUUUUUUUAUAUUAUAAUUUUACUUUUGAUCUUUACUUUAUUUUCUUCUAUUUUUGUGAGUUUUAACAUCCAAUAUUUUGCUACUUGAAAGUUUUUUAAUUGAAUUUUCUCCAUUGCAUAAAUAUUUUCAAGUAUCAGCUUAUUAGCCUAUUAGGGGCGUGUAUGGUAAAAAAAUUUCACUAGAUUUUCAUUGCUUUUUGGACCUUUUUUUUCCACCGCGGGUCCCACACAAGACUCAUUCAGUCCAAGAUUGCGGCUCCAACGGUGAGAAAUCUGCUGCCAAAUGGUCACAAUUCUGAUGAAAAUUUCUCCCAGUCAGGGCGUAAGUAUAUGUACCAAAAUGGUUUAUAUAAAAUAUUUAUUAAAUGUAUAUAAAAAUGUUAUGAGUAACCGAUGGUUUGGAUUUAGGUUUGGUUCCAAUAUUUACAAAGAUUCGAAUGGUCCCAUUUGCGAAAUAUUCGAAAAAUAAUAGGUGGUUCUAAGUAUUAAAAUACUUGCAUCGAUCCACCCAAUGCCCAGGCAUAAUUGAAAAUGAGUUAUAGAAAAAUAUAUAUUUCGAAAAAAUGGUCCAAACAAGUGCUAAAUACAAUUUGAAUAUCAAGAUAUAUUAAAAUGGGAUGAGACAGAACAUCAUUGUCGUCCCAAAUAAAUAAGUAAUUAAACAAGAUGAUAAAUAAUUUUUUUUCCCCCAUCUUGCUUUAUUUCGCUUCUGGAAAAGUCGAUAAUGGCUGCCCGCUGCCUAGGGGUGUCAAAAAGGUUCGGUGACUCGGGCGACUCGUGGUCCAGCUCAUGGCUCGGAGCCGACCCCAAAAUGGGGAGUUGGCCUGAGCCCGGGCCGGCCCGUAAAAGAAAAAAAAUAAAGAAAAAAUUAAUACGUUGCAUUGCGUUGUGAGGCAGCAUUUCUUCCAAUUAAAGGAAUCAUUAAGCUGCCAAAUUUUGUAUAUUAUAAUGAGUAACGAGUGAGCUGUGGUUACGUGACGCUCUGCCCAGGGAAUGGAAUAUCUUACUGUAUUUUUGUACUCUAUAUUAGAGUCGUUUGAGCCCCAUUAUUUGUAGAUUAUAAUGAGAUAAUCCCAACUUGAUUGGAUUUUUUUAAAGAUGCAAUCCCGUUUAGUACUUUAAACCCAAAAGAUUAUUCUAGUGGUACCUAAAGGAGUACCGAAGGGUGUGGAAUAAUCCAAACCAAACAGAGAAGAUUUUUGGCAGAACCUAAUGGUCAUUUUAAAAGCAGCUGAUAGAUGAAGACAGCUAAUAAAACAAGAAAAAGUAGAAGCAAUAACAAGGCAAGUUCGAUCACAUGCACCAACUGCCAUAGAAAUUAACUCGAAAUACAUCAAAAUAUGUCUUGCAUGAGAACUAUAGUCUCAUUUAUGCCAAAACUAAUCCACGGAGAAAGCUUAUUGAAUUAAUGAGACUGCAAAUUAUGAACAAAACCGACUAGUACAUUCACAAUAGUUACAUAUAUGACACUUUUCCCUUUAUUUGCUCCAACAUAACACCGGAAAUGUUUUCCACGAAGUAUAACUGAUGUUUGUGAUGACAGUUUUAUCCGUAUAGGAAAAAUAAAUAAAGAAGACAUCCAAAAGUAGAAAAAACAAGAACUCAGUAUCGUUCAAGUGGUUUUCACUUGCAUUUAAAGAACAAGUGUUACCAUCUAACCUGGUUGAUGCUAUGACACGACCCACUUCAUUAUUUGGCCACCAUAGAGGAUCAAACAUACUUUAGACUGUAUCUCUUCAAUCAUUUUGCAUCUGGACCCGAC
This 77871-nucleotide long non-coding RNA is filed under the name Olea europaea (common olive). Its description in RNAcentral is "long non-coding RNA (OEUR_LNC007788)". The stretch from base 25039 to 25144 matches the Rfam family "Plant small nucleolar RNA R71". The record is from RNAcentral. Lineage: Eukaryota; Viridiplantae; Streptophyta; Magnoliopsida; Lamiales; Oleaceae.